CAGUUUAUUUUUAUUACUGUACUUGCUUGUUUAUAAUAUUAGGCAUAUUAAUUAACACCUAUGAAGCCCAUUUGGUAUGCUAAGCACUGUUCUAAUGUUUUACAUGAAUUGUCUCGUUUAAUCUUCAUGUCAACACUUAUGUAGGCAUCAUUGUUAUGUGUUUUAUAGGUGUAGAAAACUGAGGUACAACGAAGUUAGGUAAUUUCAAAAAGUUAACAUAACUGGAAAGUGGUAGUGUUAAAAAUAAUUUGAGGGUUUUGAUUCCAGUUUUCAUGCUAACUUUAGUUGACUAAAGGAAGGAUACAUUGUCUAAUUUAAUCACAAACGCAGCUAUGUGAGGAAGGAUUUUUAGAGUUCUCAGAGCCUAAGUUUUCUUAAGUGCCUAAAAAAAUGCCUUGGUUAAGGAAGAUAUUUAUGGUAGAAAUGCUUUGUUAUUGCCAAUUGCUUUUAUCAGGAUUUUGGACCUAAGUUACCUGUUAGGUGCUAAAAUAUUUUUAAAGAUGAUGAAGCAUCCAAGUGCUGCUUGUUCAUUUACACUUUUAUUAAGUAAUUGUGAACAUUAAUUAUGGUUUAACUAAGAAGCACCAAUAUUAAUACUUUUGGUUUUCAGAGUUUCAAAGCCGCAAUUUUGAGUUGUUCGGCCUGUUUAGUGACAGUCAAAAAAUAAAUGCCAUGCACGAGAAUUUCAGCACUAUGAGCAGUGAUAGAAGAGAACCAAGAAGAAGUGUAUACCUUUGGAAAAUGUGUUUCCUGUUAUAGACACAUAGAAGGACCUGUUGCCCUUGAUGAUUCUGCAAAGCUAUAAAAGCUGGUACUUGAAAAACAUGGUGUAAGAAACCCAAAUCACAGAAAGACUCUAAGACCAGCUUUCUUACCAUGGUGACGCAUUGAAGCACUAAGUGUUUGAGCACAUCUCACAGGAUGAUCUAGCUAUAGAAUUGACAAGAUUUUGCCCUAAGAUAGUUGAGAGAAGCAAAUGUAUGCUUUCUUCCAUGGCAUAAUUUUACCUAUUUACCUUUUAUGUGAAAUUAGCCCGAAUCAGGAGUCACAGCUUAACCUGUUUAUAUGGGUGAAACUUUCCAUAUUGUGAGAUGUUGUUUUUACUAGCAAAGUAACAAGAAAUGAAGAACCUUCCAGAGUUUGUAACUUACUGCCUUGCUAUGAAAAUGAUACUUCAGAUACAGUGAUGUGUUUAUAAUGUCUCCUUUUGCGUAGGAUAAAUGCUGUAUCUGUAUAUGUAUGGGCAAAAUUCAGAAAACUAUUAAUCAUACACAAUGUAUACAGACAUACGUAUAUUCUCAUUCUCCCUCUCUCCCUCCCCCUCCUUCCACCUGCCUCUCUCCCCCGCUUUCUUUCUUAUUUCCUUUGUUUCCCAAAAUGAAUUCUACCUUUAUUAACUCAGUUGAAUUUUCAGCAAGUGUCUACUAAUUGAGACAGAAUCUACUGUUCUUCAGUGCCGCUACUUAACUAUAUGCUCAUCUCUUUCUACUCAUAUCUCUGUUUUAUAUUUUUACUUGGGACGUUAUUGCAUGGUAAUUAAGAAUACUGGCCUAGGAAUCUGACCGGUUAAUGUUUCAAUAACUGACCAGUAGCUUGAUUCCUUCAACAAAUAUUUCAGUGCUUAUUGUAUUAGGCAUUGUUUUAGGCACUUAAGAAAAUCUAGGCUCUGAGAAGUUAACUGUAAAAGCCCUUCCUCAUGUAGCUGUGUUUAGGAUUAAGUGAGAUAAUGUAUAUAAUUGCUGAGCACGUUGGAAUCUGUCGAUUUAUGUAAACUAUUUCUUAUUAUCUUCAAACCUUUUAAUGACUUGGAACUCUCAAAGUGAAAAAGUAAGUAUGAACAGGUAUAAAUUUAUUUUUUUAAUUUUUAUUUUUUUUUGAGACGGAGUCUCGCUCUUGUCGCCCAGUCUGGAGUGCAGUGGCGUGAUCUUGGCUCACUGCAACCUCUGCCUCCCAGGUUCAAGAGAUUCUUCUGCCUCAGCCUCCCGAGUAGCUGGGAUUACAGGCUUGCGCCACCAUGCCUGGCUAAUUUUUGUAUUUUUAUUAGAGAUGGGGUUUUGCCAUGUUGGCUAGGCUGGUCUCGAACUCCCAACCCCAGAUGAUCCACCCGCCUCGGCCUCCCAAAGUGCUGGGAUUACAGGCUUGAGCCAUCACACCCGGCCUAAACUCUUUUCUUGAAUUAAGUUUCAGGAUUGACAGCCUUCAUUAUAACAUGUCCCAUGUAAUUAGCAUCAUGACCACUAUCACAAACAUACUGAUAAAUAUAGUACAGGACCCAGAUUUCAGCACCUGUUACAUAGAGCCAUUUGUUUUUUUCCCCUCUUAUCCGUAGCUGCCCUCCACAAAUAUGGAUAAUGGACCGAGAGUAGACUGUGCUGUGUCUGCCCAUACUCUGAAUCAUAUUGCCAAUCUCCUACUCAUCCUGCCUCUUGAGAAUCCUGAGCACAGGACACCUGAGAUAGCAAAAGGUCCUUCCUGUAGUAAAAGGCUUACAGAGUCAAAUGGCUGGAGCGGUGUGAGAAUAUGGACUCAGGAACUUUGGAAUUGGGAGUACAUUUUAGAUUAGAAGAUAGCAUGUAAAGGAAGAAGGAGAGAAUUUUUGUGGGUCAGGCAUCUGGGCAUGGCUCAGGUGGGUCCUCACAAGGUUGCAAUUAAGAUAUUGGUCAGAGCUACAGCCUCAUCUGAAGGUUCAACUGGGGAAGCAUAUGCUGCCAAGCUCACUCACACAGUUGUUGACUGGACUCAGUUCCUUACUGGUGGUCGAACCGAGGACCCUGGUUUCUUCCUGGCAGUUGGCCAGAGGCUGUUCUCCAUUCCUUGCCAUGUGGACUUCUCUGGCUUGCUUCAGAGCAAGCACAUGAGAAGAGCCAGAUAGUGUUCCAGCUGGAAAGGAGUAUUAGCAAGACAGAGUCACAGCUUUUGUAACCUAAUUGCAGAAGUGACAUCUCAUCCCUUUUUCAGUAUUCUGUUUAUUAGAAGCAAGUCACUUGGUCCACCCCACACUCAAGGGGAAGGGGCUACACAAGGGUACAAAUAGCAGGAGUUCAUGAAUCAUUGGAUGGCCAUCUUACAAAUCCACCUAUCACCUACCUACUGAAAGCCUUCAGUAAGCUUUAAGAGCAUACAGGAGCCCUGACACCCAAAAAUUAGAGAACUGCUGAUCUAAAUGUAUGUUACAUUGGUGGAACAUGUAUGGGAGAUAUAAUACCUUCCUUAAAAAGUUCUUCUCUAGGAUAAGAUCUUGGGCCUUGGAAGCCUGUAUAUGGGGAGUGCAGGUAAAAUCAGGAAAGCCUCCCCUUUUUGUCAACUUCAGUUUCUGGAGAGAGGGAUCUUAAUACUACAUAGCUGUCUUCUAACAUCUUUUAGGAAGUAACACAACUAUGACAGGAACAGUAGUGAAUGUUAGAAAAAAUAAAAGGUCUGAGAGAGGAGAAUAGGAGCAUAUUCUUGCAAAGCAGAAAUAAAACUUUUUAAAAAAAUCCGUGCCCUUCAGUGAAACUUUUUUUUAAAGGAUCUUUGUAUGUUACCUUAUGGGAAACUCUAGAAAUCAACUCUAAAAAUGAAAUUUUGAGUAACAAUUUUUAGAAUGGUUGUUAAAAUGGCUAAAAGCUAUUAUGUGACUCAAAUUUCUUUUUUUUUUUUUGUUUGAGACAGGGUCUCAUUCUGUCACCCAGCUGGAAUGCAAGUGGCAUGAUCGUGGCUCAGUGCAGCCUUUACCUCCUUGGGCUCAAGUGAUCCUCCCAACUCAACCUCCCGAGUAGCUGGGACCACAGGUGCACCACCACCAUGCCUGGCUAAUUUUUUUUUUUUUUUUUUUGAGAUGGAGUUUUGCUCUUGUUCCCCAGGCUGGAGUGCAAUGGUGUGAUCUCAGCUCACUGCAACCUCCACCUACCCGGUUCAAGUGAUUCUCCUGCCUCAGGCUCCCGAGUAGCUGGGAUUAUAGGCAUGCGCCACCACACCCAGCUAGUUUUGUGUUUUUAGUAGAGACGGGGUUUCUCCACAUUGGUCAGGCUGGUCUCGAACUCCUGACCUCAGGUGAUCCGCCCACCUCAGCCUCCCAAAGUGCUGGAAUUACAGGCAUGAGCCACCACACCUGGCCCAGCUAAUUAAAAAAAAAACUUUUUUUGUAGAGAUGGUUUCACUGUAUUGCCCAGGCUAGUCUCAAACUCCUGGGCUUAAGCAGUCCUCUUGCUUUGGCCUCCCAAAGUGUUGGAAUUACAGGCGUGAGCCACUGUCCGUGGCUCAACUCAAAUAAUUUCUGAAAAUUGUGAUAGGAUUUUAUUGUUUAUGGUAGUCAUUCAGUCUGAACAAGAAGCUAUGUUUUUCAUACUCAGUCCUUACUAAAUGGACAGACAAAAAAAUACUUUCUGAAAAUCUAAGUUUAUUUCUGCUUACAAAUCUAAAAAUAAGCAAGGUUAUUGAGAAGAAUUUGAUGUCAGUUAAACUGUAUUGUAAUAUCUAAGAUUCAUGUACAAAAAUAGAAGUAAUGAUAAUAAUGAUAGAACAUUAAACAACAAAUGAGCCCUUCUAUCAGAUUUAUUGUUGUUGAGAAGGUUGUCCUUAAGUCACUUUGAAUUUUUUUUUCAUGAAGACCCACCUAGGAGAUUUCUUUCAAAUCCUAAAUACCUGAAAAAAGUUUUGCUUUUCUUGAGAAAUCAAAUGCUGCUGUUCCCCCUUUCCUCCUAAAGCAAAGUUUAGAACAUUUUCUUCUUUGCUUUAGCCACCAGGAGUCUUAGUGCCAAGUUUAUGCCUCAGUUGAAUAACUUUACAUAUUUACAUUCGAAAUAUAUGCUCAUUUAAUCUUCUAUAUUGUUCCUUGUUUCUGAUUUCUGUGUGUUUUACUUUUCUCUUUAGGUCUUUGCUUAAAAAAUAUUGAAUGAAAUUAUUAUUAUAAAAUUUUUUAGUGAACUUAGAAAAUUGUUAGCUUCACAAAUAAUCUAAGAAGUAUAAAUUAACACUGAGAAACAUUUAAAAUCAGAUUGUAAGAAAUGAAAAUAAUGAUGAUUUUCAGUGCUGACUGACAAAUGCAGUAAAUUGGACACUCAUAUCUGUUAAUGGAAGUGUAAACCUGUGCAGUCUUUUUGUAGUGACUUAAAACAUAUACCUUAAGGAAAUUCCUUAAGUUUGGAAAAAGCUAUGAACAAAGGUGCUUAUCUGUCCUUCAUUUUAAAAAGGUGAAAUUUGGAAAUAACCUAAAUGGAACUGUUAAAUGAGCUAUUAUAUACCUAUGUACUUUAUGGAAGGAGUAAUACUGUAUUUUUAAAAAUCAUCAAAAUGAAACUGACCCAGUAAUCCCAUAGACAGUAAAUCGAUUAGUUUAUACUUUUAGAUGCUUUAGGAUAUAAAUAAAUUGGUAACUAUGAACCACGUGCUAUAGAGUUUAAUGCUAAAUGUAAUUUUACAAGUAAAUCAGGUUAUAUAUAUAUGUGUGUGUGUGUGUGUGUGUGUGUGUGUGAUUGAAUUUUUUUUUUUUCCUUAAAGAAACAGGGUCUCACUCUGUCGCCCAGGAUGAAGUGCAGAGGUGAGAUCAGGGCUCACUGCACUCUCAACCUUCUGGGCUUAAGUGAUGUAACUGCCUCAGCUUCUCAAGUAACUGAGACCAUAGGCGUGUGCCACCAUGCCUGGAUAAUUUUGUUUUAUUUUUUGUAGAGACGGUUGCCCAGGCUAGUCUCAAACUCCUGGCCUUGAGUGAUCCUUCUGCCUCGACCUCCCAAAGUUCUGUGGGAUUACAAGUGUGACCUGCCACACCCAGCCUGUGAUACAAUUUUUAUAUCUCCGAAUUUUAAAAUGUUUGGAUUUGUAAAGGAUUCUUCUAAAAUGGCAUAUAUUCUAAUCUUUACCUAAAUUUCCUCGUUACCCAACUUUUUCCUCAUCCAAAGCUUCUUUUUGUUGUUGUUUCAAACCUGAAAAUAUCCAUCCCCACUUGAGUUUCAGUUUUGAGCUAUAUAGUACUUACUAGGCUUCUAUCAAUUGGAACAUUGACCUGUUUAUAGUUUUUUUUUAAAAUUCUGUCUAUAAUACAAUGAUCCAGUAUACAUACUAUUCCAUACUGUUAACUUUGGUGUAGGAAUUCUGUUGUUGGUCAGUAAGGUAAGUGGAAUAUGUCUUUAUGACUUAUUGGAAAAGACAAACCUAGCUUGGCUUUUCUACGUGUUUUACAUAUGUACCUUUGAAAAGGUAUGCUUAAAUAUUAAACAAAAAGUACAAGUAGAAUAUUUAUACCAUGCAAUCAAACUGUGCAGAUUUUGAAUGUUUAAAUUUUGCCAUGUUUAACUUUUUUAAGGUUGCAUGCAGAGAGAUAAAACAACAAUGGACACUAGUCAGAUUCUCAUAACCAGUGAGGGGGAAGUAUCUUUUUCUAAUAAUAGAAUGAUCUUUGGUUUGUGAAAAGAGGUGUGUAGUUGGAAGUUAAUGUAUUUUUCUUUACAGAGUAUACAGCAGUUUACUCCUUUUAACCUGUUAUCAGAUUUAUUUUGGAAAGAAUUGUGUGAGUAAUGUUCUGAAUUUAAAAAAGCAUUGCAGGAAAUUGAUGUGUGAUUAUUCUUUUGAGUACAGUGCCCUUUAAGAACUCAGUGGGUAGUUAUGUUUACUUGUUUAACUGCAUCACAUUUAUUCAUGAUAGACAAGACAGCAAGUUAGUAGAUGAACUUAAUGGAUGAAUUUGUUUUGCUUUGUUAUACCUUGCAAGAAAGCACAAAACAAUCAUCUAAGGCUUUAUCGUCUAAUUUCCAUCAGGUACUGUGUUACACUGAUUUGCAUACAUUGCUGGACUUAUUUUUAACAGCCCCCUGAACUUUAAAUAGAAAAGGUAGCUCCUAUCCUGGAAGAACUCACAGUUCGGUAGGGAAAGGGAGGCAAGGAGCAGGAACAGAUGAGUCAACUGAAAUUAUAAUACCCUGUGAUAAAUGCUGUGAAGGAUAUAAAUCCUGUAUGCUAUGGAAGUAAUGGAAUAGGUUCACUUAACCCAGUAGUUUGUGGGGAGGAGGGAGAGGAAGAGUCAAGAAAGACUUCUCAAAGAAGAUCCCCAGAGCUGAGGGAUAAUAGGAAUUAGGUUGGGAUAAGGCGGUUGAGGGGAGUAUGUUCCUUGUAGUACUGAACAAACACAAGAGCAUCUAAGAGCAUUUCAGUCUUUUAACUACAAUAAUAGGUAACAUUUAAUAUACAGUGCUUAUUAUGUGCCAAUUGCUAUUCCAAGUGCUUUGUAUUUUCCAUGUAUUAACUCCUUUAAUUUUCAUAACAACUUUAUUAUGUAGGUAUUAUAAUUAUCCCCAUUUUACAGAUGAGGAAACUGAGGUACAGAAAGAGAAAAUAACUUGUCUAGGAUCACAUGAUGAGAAAGUAGAAGAACUAGGAUUUAAACCCAUGUUGUCUCAUUUCGGAGUUUUGGCUUUUAUUAUGAGAAAAGUUAAACUCUGGAUUGCACCGGAGAUAAGUACCUGGGGUGAGAAAACCUUUUCAAUUAAUUCUUCUUACUGAAACACAUAUAUUAUUUUCUUAAAAUCUGAAGCAGUGGAUCCUAUCCAUUUUUUUCUGCCUCUGUAAGAAUGUUUGGCAUCCUUUAUCUUCUCAUCUCCAAGCUUUCCCUAGUAACCAGCCCUCUUAAACUUCAGCAUUCUCGAACUUCUCCCUUCUGUUUUCUCUAGAUACCAGCCUUUUGCUUCCCCUUAUCUCCAGACUUCUUUGUAAACUCCUCUAAACUCCCUGCCUCUGCUAUAUAACUUUCAUUCCCUCCUCAUCCCAUUGAAAUCUGGGUUCUAAAGAGAGAUUUAUGAGGAAACUUGCUAGGCAGUGUAGGGUUAUGCCUUCUUUUUGUUUUUCUAAUAGUGCUUGACAGGUCAAGGUGUAGAAGUAGGAGUGGAGAUGGCAGCCCUCCAGGAUUGGGGUCUUUGUUAGGAUGUGGAACAGAAGGACAGGGGAGCAAGGGAGUGGAAAGUCUUGACAGGAAUGUCAUUCAUGGACCCUGUGGUCUCAGUAGAAUUUAGAAGGAAGUGAAGACGGGAGUGAAUUGAUGGUCUAGGGGAAAAUGGAAGAGCAGGAGGUCAGGUGAAUUGCAGAAAAGCUCUUUAAUGGGAGUAAAAGAGCCAGAGGUCUGGGAGUAUUGAGGUAGUAUUGGGAGAGUUUAAAGUUUUAGAGGAGGAACUGUCCUGAGUGAUACAUUUCAAGAUCUGGUGGUCAUUGGUGUGAAUGACUGAAGUGACAGUCGUGAGAGUUCAUGCUGACUCACCUACAGUGAGGAUGGGCCUUGUGUGUGCAGUGGAGCACUGUGAUGAGCAAUGAAAUAAUGAAAGCAUCAUUUGCAAGAUGGUGUUACCUUUGCCCACUUCUUGCUGUCAGAUGGUAGAUACUUAUUUCAUUAACAGGAGUUAUGUUUAUUUUUGUAAUUGACAUUUUAUUCUUGUUUGCAUAGAAUAAUGCAAAAUCUUCAUUGAAAAGGAGCAGUAUCUGUAGUAUCAAAUUCUUUUGUGUGUCAUUUUUUUUUUCAGUAUAUUUUCUAACAUAACACUUAACAUUAGCAGUAUUUUGACCUUUUCUGUCAUUCUGGACAAUCUGUUCUGGCAUUUUCCUUCCGGAAAAUAGAGAAGAGAAAAAAAUAUGAGAUGAAGAACAAAUGGUUGGGCACUCAUCUUUAAUUUUGAUUGUUAGAAUUGUUUAGGUUGUUAGAAUUCUGGUUGUUAGAAUUGUUGUAGAUGUUUGGGGAACAUCCAUCAUGGAUCAGAUAGAAAAGAAAACAGUGUUUUUGGCUUAUUAUUACUUUGCUUUUUGUUUUAAUUUUAUAUAGUUAUAAUGUUACAAAUAUUUCUCAAUUUAAAUUAUAGUGUUUAAAUUUUAGGUAAGAAUGGAAAAUGAUGCCUGUUAACAUUUUUAUUCUUGAGAAUGUUGCCACAGGAACAUUAGAGAAAAAAAGUAAUCUUGUGUUUUGAGAGAAUUCAUUUGUUGUUGACAUUCCCCUCAGAGGAUACUACUUUGAUAUGUACAAAUAACAAAGGUAGCAAUAUGGUUUGUUGGUUUUCUUUAAACUUUGGCAUAGCCAAACCUUUAGUGGACCCUGGAGGCAUUUUCUUAUCAACAAAGUGGAUCAAACUGACUCUAAAAGUGGUUUCUAGUAAUCUGGUAAACAGAAGAAACAUAUAAGGGCCCAGCAUAUCCUAAACAUUUCAAUUUUCUGAUAUACUAGAGCACUGUUUUUAAAAAUGGAUUUUAAUAACAUUGUCUUCUUAGUUAUAAGUUAUUUUAUUUCUCCAAAUUUUGUUACCUUCCCUAAUUAUGCUCAGUUUAGGAGCAUAAAUGAACACAUAUACACAGACUUUAUUUUGCUGGAAUUCUAAAAGCAAAUUAAGACAUUAUUUUAGUAGUUUCAGAAUUGUGUUCCUCAAGAGAACAGUAAAGAUUUAAGUAACAACAGUUUUGGUUAAUAACAGUGAAAUUUUCUUUUUGUGAGGUGUAUUAUAAGAACAUCUCAUAUGAGUAGAACAUGAGGUAUUUUAGCUUUAAAGCUAAUCUUGGGCCAAGUGUGGUGGCUCAUGCCUGUAAUCCCAGCACUUUGGGAGACAGAAGCAGGUGAAUCACUUGAGCCCAGGAGUGUGAGACCAGCCUGCCCAACAUGUGAAACCCCCAUCUCUACAAAAAAAUCCAGAAAUUAGCCGGUGUGGUAGCAAGCGCCUGUGGUCCCAGCUAUUCAGGAGGCUGAGGUGGGAGGAUUGAUUGAGCCCAGUAAGUCAAGGCUGCAGUGAGCUGAGAUCAUGCCACUGCACUCCAGCCUGGGUGACAGAGGGAGACCUUGUCAUAAACAAACAAACAAAUAAAUAAAUAAAUAAAAUUAAGCUAAUCUUGAAUUCAUUUGUACUUAACUAAUUAGGCCUAGUAUUUGUCAAAUUCAUAUAUUAUUUGGUAGAGUAUGGAGGGAAAUAUACUUAAGUGUUAGUUUGGAGAGGUAGUUUUAGUAUGUUAUUGGGGAAUUUUUACUUUUGACUUUCCCUCAUGGUCUCUGUAUAUCAAGUACUAGGAAAACAGCAUUUUUCCAUUAAAGGGCUCAUACUUCUUGGAACUUCUGGUCUGACAGGCUGAUCUUGUUUGUGUGACUACAUAGGCUAUGUUUAGGUUUCUUUACGUAUUAGGCUUUACAAAGAAGAUGAAAACACCAUAUCACUUUUGUCAUCACGGAACAUAUUACAGGUUUCAUAAUGGAUAACGUAAAAUAAUUCAGCUCACUGUAUUUUUUGUUUCUUCGUUAUAUCUUUUUUUUUUUUUUUAAACAGAGCCUCACUGUGUCGCCCAGGCUGGAGUGCAGUGGCACUAUCUUGGCUCACUGCAACCUCUGCCUCCCAGGUUCAAGCAAUUCUCCUGCCUCAGCCUCCCGAGUAGCUGGGAUUACAGGUGCAUGCCACCAUGCUUGGCUAAUUUUGUAUAUAUAUAUAUAUAUAUAGUUUUAGUAGAGACCGGGUUUCACCAUUUUGGCCAGGCUGGUCUGGAAUGCCUGACCUCAAGUAAUCCACCUGCCUCGGCCUCCCAAAGUGCUAGGAUUACAGGUGUGAGCCACCGCUGCAAGUCUCUUCUUCAUAUCCUGAUUAUUUAAAUCAAAUGUAUUUCUUUUCUGAGGUCUUGGAGUUUUCCCCAUGUUUUAAAAUGUGUUUCCUUACCUUUUAACUUAUAACAGAAUCCCUUUAAGACGCUUUUACAAAUGAAGGCCAUGCUAUUUGCUAUUAGGAUUAUCUGAACAGACCAACAGAGAGUAUAUUUGACCAACAGUCCAGGUUUCAUGUGAAGAAGGAGAAGCACGUAUGUUUGUAGUUCUUUGUAGUUUGUGCCUACAAAACAGCAGUCACCACUAAAAUACUUAUUUGAAAUAUUUUAAAGUGCUGAGAUUACAUGCGUGAGCCACCGCGCCCGGCCUGAAUCUGUUUUUAAUGUUAAUUUUUUAUUUUUCUCACUGAAGGGGAACCAGCGCCCUAUUAAACUCCAUUGUUGGUAAUUUGAGAACACAAACCAAUUAAUAUCUAUAUUCUGAAUAAUUAUAUAGUUAAGGUGCAGCUUUUAUUAUAUCUGGCUUUUUACUUUGUUGCAAACUCCAAACCAAAGAAUGUUCAUAACUGUCCUACAGCAGUGAAAUGAAUUAAAGUAAUUCUGGUCAUUAGAAAAUCUUUAAAUUAUUUUAAGAAUACGUAACUGACUGUGAUAACUUCUUGUUUAUAACAGGUUAACAUGGAUGACUAGUUUAUAGCUUUUGAUCUUAUGUGUAAUGACACUGGGAAGAAAACAUGUAUCCCUCUAAGGUAGCAUUUCUGUUAUUUCUAUGCCCAAAGACUGUGCUGACCGCCAUUUUGCCAGAAGCUUUGAACACUGUUGACUGAUUGAUGUGUACAUCUAAUUCAGAUUUACAUAAUCUAAUUGGACCCUUGGGUUCUUAAAAAAUGGCCUUCUUUUAUCACCAUAUGUGUUCAUUACAAUGCAUAUUUUAAAAUGAGAUGGCCCAAAGAGCAUGCUAUGAUGAAUUUACUGUUGAAAUACUUGUGAAACUUGGAUAAACCUAAUUAUCAAGGGACAGUUUCACUUAAGAGGGCAAAAGUUUCACUUCAAAGAAAAGCCUACUGCUCUUGCUUUUAAUGGUUUGAAUUAUGUUUUUAUCUUUCAUCAGCCCAAGAGUUUGUACUUCAGGGUCAGAAACAAAACUUGGAGCCUCUGUGAAUCCUGUAAUCAUUUACUAACUCUCUUGUAGAACAAGAUGUCAUUUUUUCCUACUAUUCUGUUUCAUUCUUUAUUUUUCUGCCCCCCCCCCCCCAAACACACAGGAGAGUGGAACUUGGGAUUAUAAUUGGUUAAUGGGUUUUUUGGGUUUUUUUGGUCUUACUCUGUCACCCGGGCUGGAGUGCAGUGGUGCUAUCUUGGCUCACUGCAACCUGUGCCUCUCAGGCUCAGGCGAUCUUCCCACCUCAGCCUCCUGAAUAGCUGGGACCACAGGUGCCUGCCACCACGCCUGGUUAAUUUUUUGUAUUUUUGGUAGAGACAGGGUUUCACCAUGUUGCCCAGGCUGGUCUCAAAUUCUUGAGCUCAAGUGAUCCGCCGGCCUUGACCUCCCAAAGUGCUGGGAUUAUAAGCCUGAGCCACCACGUCCAGCCAGAAUUUUUUAUUUUUUAAGAAAGAAAGUUUAUCUUAGGUCCUCCUUCCCCCAUACCCCAUUUUAAUUUGGUGCCAGGUUUGCCUGUCUCUGUGGAGAAAAGAAUAGAAAUGUUGGCUGAGGGAAAGUUUUUAUGUCUCCUCUAAUACGUAUUUCAUUUUUUUCUAUUUGCUCCUUGCUUUUCUAAUACAGGUAGGAUAAAGAGGCAACUUCAGGAAUACCCAGACUUUAGCUCCAUCUAGGAAUUUUUAUUGGUUUGUUUUUUGACUAGAGUGUAGAAUGGAAGCUCUUUUGGCUGGGUUGGGUCCUUGGGCAAAAUAUUUCAGACUCCUGUAUUAUAUGGUGAAUUAAAUUGCUUCACUGGCACUUUUUCUUUUUUAAAGCCUGUUCACACUUUAUACAGUUUUUGAAGAGGAAAACUUUGGAUAGUGCUCUUUCAAACCAGGCAAAUGCCUCGGUUUCUUUUAAAAAAUCUUUGUAAAAUAAUAAUAUUAGUCUGACUUAAAGGUUAUGAUGGAAUACAUAUAAAACAUUUGGGAGUCUCAAUUCUAUUUAAUGUAGGUUCGAUCAAUGUUACUAAUGUGCUUUAGCUGCAAUAUAUUAAUAUUUGUUUCUUAGCAUCCUGAGGCUAGCCACUUGCCUCUUGUUCACCUUACUAGUACAACUAAACUAGUGUCUGGCCCUGAAGGUGGGCAGAAAAUAUUCAUUAAAUUGAAUUUUGAUGUAGGGAUAAUUCUGUUUCUUUGUGUCUUGCCUAAGUUUAAUUCAUGUCAUAGUCAUGUUUCACAUGUAUCUUAAUUCUUACUGCAUAAAAUGUUCAUGCAAAAGGCAGUAUUAAUUUUACUCAUUGUUAACAAUCAGCAAGUACUAUUCAGAGUCUGACUCAUAACCAUAGAGUAUCUUGAUGCUAUAAUCAGAAACAUUUAUUAUCCCUGGCUUUAGCAGUUGAACUUACAGGAUAAUGUUUAGUUCUCAUUAUCAGAGAAAAAGGUGAUUCAGGUAAUUUCUUCAUUUGUUCGUUUCUCUAUCCCUCUACCCCAGUGUCUUGAAAAAAUAUUUAGCUAGAAUGCUCAAAAAUGGUGUGUUAGCAUUCAUUUUCUUCCAUUAGGUGAUUUUUGUUGACUAUCAUUAAUAGCAAUAUGUAAGACUUACUAUUCAUUUGCCUAUUUAUUCAUUCUACAACAUUUAUUGUUUUUCUACUGCCAGGAACAAUUUGAAGUGCUGGAUAUAUUUAGUGGGAAUUGGUUUUCUUAGGCAGAUUAUCAUCUGUUUGUGAAGCUUUUUCACAGUGUACGUGCCUGGCCCCAAAUCUAGGAGAUUCUUGUUUGGUAUAUUUGGUGUGGUGUAAGUUCAGGCAUCUGUAUUUUUACAGAGCUUUUCAAAUGACUCUAAUGCACGUUUGCUUUUGAGUACCAUAGGAAUAAAACAAGUCUCAUUCAAUAGGUACUCAAAAUAGGUAAAUGCAGUAAAGUUUCAUAGAUGCUGUAAGAGAAACUGUUGGUAUAGUGUGGGCACAAAGCAAGAAGUCCUACUAGGUACCUCAGGAAAGGUUUCCUAAGAAUAGAAAUGCCUAGCUGAAUCUUGUUCUCCUAAGUGUUUUAGAGUAGGUGGAACCCAUGAAUCUAUAGAUUAGCCUAAGUAAAUUCCAGUAUGCAGGGCAAUGUGAACAAAAAGAGAGAGGUGUGAAACAGCUUACAGCAUUUUGGAAAUUGCAAGUAGUUGGCAUGAUUGAAUUACUAGAUGAGGAUGGUUAAAAAUAAGAUAGUUUUUAUGGUGCUGAAAACAAGCAUACAUUAAAGAAUAUGAAGAAAGGAGAAUAAGAGUAGACUUGAACUUUAGAAAGAUGACAGUGAUGGUAUGAAGCAUAGAUUGGAGUGGUAUGAGAAUGGAGGUAGGGAAAUGGGUUGACAUAGCCACAAGAAUCCAUACAAGAGCAAUUCAGAGGCCUCAACUAAAGGAGUCGCAGUUGGAGAGGAAGAGGAUUGGAAAAAAGAACCAUAAGGAGGUGGAAUCUUUGAGAAUCGGUGACUGACUGGAUUUAGGAGACAAGAAAGACGAAGUAAUUUCUCACCUAUAUGAAGAAUAUGGUUGAUGUGCCAAACAUCAAGCUUGUGAGCAUCUCCAUAUUUUGGAGGGAGUGACUGAAAGACACAAGAAUUAGCAACUUUCUUCAUAUUUCUUCCCCUUCUGAAUGUGCCACACUGUAUGCGAUCCUUAGCAAUUGUUUGACAACCAGUUAUUAUCAAACUUGAUCCUUUAUUUCCUUCAUAGCACUUACAAAUUGCAAAAAAAUUAUAAUUGCAUUAAUUUGUUUUGCUUUCUUCUUUACUAAUAAUAUCCAGCACAUACCUAAUGGCCAGGUCUAUUUGUCUAUCAGUCAGUGAGAUUAUAUAGAUAUAUGUGUGUGUCUGUAUACACAUGUGUACACAGGAGGACCUGUGUAAGCUGUUAAUCAGAGGUUGGCAAAUCUUUUCUUUGAAGGGUCAGAUAGUAAAUAUUUCAGGCUUUGUAGGCCAAGAGGCAAAAUCAUGGAUACUAUGUAGAUACUUAUAUAACAAGAGAGAGAACAAAUUACCAUGUACUUUAAAUUCAGAAAAUUCAAAAUAUAAACGAAUAGAAUAGUAAUUGAGUUAAAAACUCUUGCAAUACAGGUCUACUAAUGAGAAGAAUAGAAUUAUUUGGGGAGGACAACAUUUUGCCUAAUUGGGGUCCAAGUUUAGUGUUUCUUAUCAAAACUUUUGCAAAUGUUCUUCUGCAAAAACUAUUCUUGGCUUGUGGACCAUAUAAAAAGAGGCAUCAUACCAGAUUUUGCGUACAGGCUGUAGUUUGCUAACCCCUGUUUUUAUUGCUCAUGUGACUGUUGGGUCAGCUAGGUGAUUCUGCUGAUCUUAACCAGGCUUACUCGUGUAUCUAUGACCAGCUGCUGUGUUGGCCGAAGUUUGUGUAGGCUAAGAUGCUUCAGCAGAGACAGCUUGUUUCUGCUUCACAUGGUUUUAUCCCGAAGGAGGCUGGCCUUAUCUUGUUCACCUGGCAGCUGAGCAGUGUUAUAAACGAGGGAGUGGAAGUAUAUAAGGCCUUUUGAGACUUAGGCUAGUAACAUCAUUUUUAUUGCAUUCUAUUGGGAGACCAUCCCAGAUUUGAGGGAUGCAGCUCUUGAUGGGAGGAGCAGCAAAGGCACACUGCAAAAUGGCAUGGAUACAGGGAAGGGAGUAACUGCAACCAGUUUAGUAAACCAUCUACCGCAAUUCAGUUUCAUGACCGUGUGGUAUUUUGUUGAAUAAAUAUGCCACAGUUGAUUUAGUCGUUUUUCUUUUGAUGGACAUUUUGACUGUUUCCAGUUCUUGGCACUUAUAAGCAAUGCUGCUCAGAAUAAUCCAGUAUAUAUCUCCCUGUGCGUACAUGUUAAGAGUUUUAUUAAGGGGGGGUGUGUUUGUGUGUGUAAGAUAGAGUGCAUGGACAAAAUGUACAGUACAUAUGUAAGCCUAGAAGUGGAAUUGUAUGUAGGGUGUGCACAUCUUUAGCUUUAUCAGAUACUGCGAGAGUGACUAUAUCAAUUUAUAUUCUUACUACUAGUGUAGUUCUUAUUGCACCACAUCUUUGCCAAGAUAGUGUAAUUUUGCCAGCCUCAUUGCACAUGAAAUGGCAUCUCAUAAAGGGUAUAAUUUGUAUUUUCUUUAUUGUUAAUGAUAUUAAGUAUCUUUUCAUAUGCUUAUUGAUCAUUGCGUUUCUUUUUUUUUUUUGAGACAGAGUCUCGCUCUGUCGCCCAGGCUGGAGUGCAGUGGCGCGAUCUCAGCUCACUGCAAGCUUCGCCUUCUGGGUUCACGCGAUUCUCCUGCCUCAGCCUCCCGAGUAGCUGGGACUACAGGCACCCGCCACCACGCCCGGCAAAUUUUUUGUAUUUUUGAUAGAGAUGGGGUUUCACUGUGUUAGCCAGGAUGGUCUCGAUCUCCUGACCUCGUGAUCCGCCCGCCUCAGCUUCCCAAAGUGCUGGGGUUACAGGCGUAAGCCACUGCACCCGGCUAAUUGUGUUUCUUCUAUGAAUUGCCAGUUAAUAUAUUUUGCUUGUUAAAAAAAUCGUUACAUCUUUCAUUGAUUUUUAGGAAUUUUUAAAUUCUAAUUCUUUUUUGCUCGGUUAUGUAUGUUCUAAUAUCUUUCCCAGUCUGUGAUUCAUCUUUGUAUUUUUUAAUGGACUCCUAAUGAAAACAAGUUUUUAAUUUUAAUACUAUUGUAUUUAUCAGCCUUUUCCUUUAUGGUUUGUACUUUUUAUGUGUUAUUAAAGAAAGCUGUCUCUUCCAGAUCUUCAGAUUCUCGUAUGUUUUCUUAACGUUUGCUUUUUUACCUUUUGAUCCUUAGUCUACCUGGAGUUGAUUUUUGUGUAUGGUAUGAGAUGAGGAUCUAAUUGUUUAAGUAUAUGGAUUUCUAAUUCUCUCAACAUGAUUUGUUGAAUUUUUCCCUCUUUCCUCAGCUUUCCUGCAUUGCCAAAGCUCUGUCAUACAGAGUUUCCACAUAUACACAUGUUCUACAUUUCUUUUGACGCUAAUUUCCUGUAUAGGAAAGUUGUUCGGUUUUCACUUUUGAAGCUGGCACUUUUUGUUUACUACUAUGUUAUUGCCUGAGUAGUCUUGACUGAACUGUGCCCUUAAUUACUUUGGAUAAGAGUAGGUAGCAGUUUUUGGGUUGCUCACUAUAUGCUAGAUUAGUAUACUUAAAAUUUUAGUGCAUUUAAUGCACUAAAAUUUUAAUGCAUUAGCUCUUCAUGACAGUAGUAUGAAUUAACUAUAUUUUUUUGUUCCUUUUAGAAAUUAGUAAACUGAAGCCCAGAGGAAACUUAAUACUUAGCUAGGAUUAUGAACCCAUGCCAGCUAGCUUCAGGGUCUCAACUUUAAACCACUAUUUUAUAGUAUUUCUCAUUUGAUUUAUAAAUGUCUUGUCUGAUUUGAAACAUUUGAAUAGGAGAGUGGUUCCCAGUCAACCAUAACAUAUCUAAAAUUUGUCUGAUUACUGAUGUUUAAAGAGGUAAUUGUUAAAAUGAGUCAAGCAAGCGCUAUAAGGACUAGUUACAGUUUAUUUUUAGAAUUUUAUUAGGUUUUUUUAAAUGGUCACCUUUGAGAUCUGCCCCUCUCCCCUGCCACUCAUGAAAGGAAAGAUGCAGAAAAUGAUUCUUUAUUUUGGAAAACUAUUUUUGUGUUUUUAGAUGUCUGGAUUUUUCAUGUGUGCACUAGCAGAGGAUUCUUGCAUAAGAUAAUGGGGCCAGUGAGCAUGAACGGUUGUAGGUUGGAGAUGUGGUCCUCUGCAUGGGUUAUUUUUCUUUUUAAGAGCAAGAUAUAGGGAUAGAUAUAGCUGUUGGCACAGUCUAGGGGAACACAUUGUUUUAGAUAAUCUUGCCUCUUCCUGCCCUCUAGCCAAGCUUCUGAUAAGCAUUUUGCAUUGAGGAUGACCAACUUUGAUCUCUCCACUCAAUUUCCCAUGGCACUUGUUAUCUGUACCAGCUCUUUGGAAAUUCAUAUUCAAUUUAGGAUUUGAUUUUGUUUUUUGUUUUUUAAGACAGAGUCUUGCUCUGUUGCCCAGGCUGGAGUGCAGUGGCACAAUCUUGGCUUGGCUCACUGUAACCUUCGCUUCCCAGGUUCAAACGAUUCUCAUACCUCAGCCUCUUGAGUAGCUGGGAUUACAGGCACGUGCCAUCAUGCCUGGCUAAUUUUUGUAUUUUCAGUAGAGAUGAGGUUUCACCAUGUUGCCCAGGCCAGUCUGGAACUCCUGACUUCAAGUGAUCCGCCUGCCUCAGCCUCCCAAAGUGCUGGGAUUACAGGCAUGAGCCACUGUGCCCAGCCUUGAUUAUGUUUGAUAACACUUUUGUAUUUUUCUGAUUGCUUUGAAAAUAUGUUUCGUGUACCUAAGAAUAGAACCUUAGGAACCUUCUUGGGACAGGGAUGGUGUUUUAUACUUAUUUUUAAUCAUCUCUACAGUCUUAGCACAGCAGCUAAUUACAGUGCAGGUGUUCAAUAAAUGUUGCUUUUUUUGAGAUGGGGUCUCACUAUAUUGUCCAGGCUGAGGUGCCAUGGCUACUCACAGGUGCAGUCAUGGCAUAUUGCAGCCUCAGGCUCCUAAGCUUAAGUGAUCCUCCCACCUCAGCCUCCCAAGUAGCUGGACUAGGGGUGCCCACCACUGUGUCUGGUGCUUCUUUCUUUUAGUGUGGCUUAACUAAUGAGACCCCAGAGAUAAGGGCAAAUUUUAUAUUUGAUUUAAAAUUGUUGAGUGUUUUAUUCAACACUAAUUUAUUCAGUGUACUUUGUUCAGCGAAUUGCGGGAAACACAAGAUGAAUCAGAAACCGUAUCUGCCCUCAAAGGGACUAAGUUCUUAAACAGUUUAAGUUAUAAAUAUAGUUGCUUGCUUCUGUGUACAUACGUACCCUCUUAGUUUCACAGAGGGAGCUAGAAGUUGUUUAUAAUUUAAUUGAGGAGAUCAAACAUAUGAAGAAAAAUCAUUCAAUGUAGAAUGUGGUGAGUCACAAAGCCCCUGGGGAUGGAUUUUGUACUUGAGGUGGGUUGAAGAAAGAUGCUUAGAGUGGCAGUAACAAGGGAGCUGGGCCCUCAAUAAAGAAGGUAGGAUUUUGACAGGUGGGUUAAGGAUGGAGGGUGGGGUUGCAUUUAAGAAAGAAAAAAACAGUGUGAAGCAAGGUCUGGUAGAGGCAGAAAAAGCUGGCCAUGUUUGGAGCAAAAGUAGUUCAAUUUGGCUAGAAUAUAGGAGAGAAAAGUACAUAAAUUGGGGCCAGUUUAUGUAGAGUCUUAAAUAUCAGGCUAAGGUGUUUGGACUUAAUUCAGUAGACAGUGGGGAGCCACUGAAGUGUUUUGAGUAAUAUGAUCUGAGCCAUACUUUUGGAAGAUUAAUCUGGUUGCAUUGUCAGUAAUGAAUGAGAAAAUGAAAGUGUUUUCCAUUGUUGGAACACUUUUUUGUUUUCUUUAUAAACAUAACUAAAACAAAUGUAAGCUUAGUGUAGCUAUCAAAUAACACUAAAAACCUUUAUUAAUGAAAAUGUAAGAAAAGAUAUGUUUUUGUAUAUCCAGCUAUUUUAAAAAACAUGUCGGCCGAGUGUGGUGGCUCAUGCCUGUAAUCCCAGCACUUUGGGAGGCCGAGGCGAGUGGAUCACCUGAGGUCAGGAGUUUGAGAUCAGCCUGACCAAUAUGAUGAAACCCUGUUUCUACUAAAAAUGCAAAAAUUAGCCGGGCGUGGUAGCAUAUGCCUGUAAUCCCAGCUACUCAGGGGGUUGAGACAGAAUUGCUUGAACCCGGGAGGCAGAGGUUGCAGUGCGCCAAGAUCGGGCCAUUGCACUCCAGCCUGGGCAACAAGAGCGAAACUCCGACUCAAAAAAAAAAAAGGCCCUAUUCACCUGUUGGCUUCUAAUUCAGAUUUUUGCAUUUAGCCUCUUCAGUGAGUUAUGUACCACAGAUAGAUAUAAACUUCCAAAAACACAGUUCCGAUUGGUAUAUUUUACUACUCAAAGCCUUCAGUAUCUCUCCAUUUGGCUGCUGAAUAAAGUCCAGAUUUCAUACCCCAACAGUCAAGGCCCUCCCUCAUUCAUCUCUCCUACUACUCUACUCUCUGGCUGUUUCAGACAAACUAUUCUUAAGACUCCUUGUGAUUUCCUACUUCUUUGUCUCAUUUACUCUAGUUCUUGUGACCUUCAUAGAGUCUUAAGAAUAAAAGGGAGGGAAGAUAUGUUGAAAUCUUGAGAACACCUGUGAGUAGGUCAUAUGUGGCAGAGCUGGGAUGAAAGCUCUUCUAUUACUUGUUAUUUUUUGUAAUUGCUAUGUGCCAGGUAUUGUGGCCAAUCCUGGGUUAUGAUGGUAAGUGAAACAAAAGUGAUCUCUGCUCUUUAUACCUUAUGGUCUAUAGAGACAAAUAUUAACCACUAUAUAUAGUAAACCAAUGUUGCAAUUACAAACUUGGAUGGGUCCUAUCAAGGAAAAGUACUUUGAGGUACUUUAAGAGAAGAUAAUGGGCAAAGGGAGUACAGCUAAUUUAUAGUGGUAUGUCAGGAAAGGUCUCUUUAAGGAAGUGUUUUUUUUUUUCUUUUUUCAUGCUGCCCCAUGUGAUUAAGAGGAAAUGAAUUUUAAGCUGAGAACUGACAUAUGAGAGCAUGUAGGUAGGGCAAAGAGUGGAGAAGGGCAUUCUAAGCAGAGUGAGCAGUAUGCACCAAGGCCCCCAAGUGGAAAGGAAUUUGGGGUAUUAGAUGACCUCAAAGGUCAGUGUGGCCAGAACAUAUUUUGAUUACUGAGGAGUAAGAUGAACCUGGAGAGUUAAGGAGGAACCAGAUCAUAUAGAGCCUUUUAGACCAUAUUGGAUUUUGUAUUUUAUAUAAAGUACAUUGAAAAGAAAAUGGCAAUUGAAGGGCUUUUGAAGAGUGACACAGUCCAGUUUGUGUUUUUAAAAUAUCACUGUGAUUAAUAAUAUAUCCAAAAUUCAGCCACUUCUUAUCUCCACAGUCUCCACCCUGGUAUAAAUCUCAUUUGAAUUAGCUAGUCUCAGCUUCCACCCUUCCAGCCCUACAGCUAUUCUUUUUUUAUCUUUUUUCUUAAGAAAUUUUUUUAAAAAAAUUUAUCAUGGCCCAGGCACUCACACCAACAGCCUAUUCUAGACAGUUACCAGUUUUUUUCCUUUAAAAUGUUAGAGCAUGUCUCUCCUGCUCCAGAUCUUCCCACGGUUUCCCAUUUUACUCGGAGUAAAUCUCCGAGACAUGCUCCCACCUCAGGGCCUUUACACUUGCUGUCUCGUUUGCCUAGGAUGCUUUUCUCACAGAUACCCAUGUAGUUCACUUCCUAACCUCCUUCAGGUCUUUAUACAACUGGUGAAUCCAUACCAGACCCCAUCCCUGCCAGUCCUUCCCUACUUUAUUUUUCUCUGACUUUCAUACUAGAAUGUAAAUUUCACUGGAUAAAGAAUUUUGUAAGAGAGUCCUGUACUGAUCUAUUCUCAGGAUGUGUAAUGCUGUAUAUAACAGGCAUUCAGUAAGUAUUAGUUGAAUGAGUAGCUUGGUGGAGUCUAGAGUAGCAGCUGAGAGAACAGUUUAAAGGGUCUGAGUCUAGAUGAGAGAUGGUGGCUGAGACAAAGAUUGUGGAAGAUGCAGAGAAGCAGGGGAUUCAAGAUACAUUUUAGAGAUAGAAUUAACAGGACAGUUCACAAUGAUAAGAUAACUUAAGUUUUUGCCUCACAAGUUUAGCGUUUCUUCUAUUAAACCAUUAUGAAAUGUCAUUGUUAGCUAGUAAUUUAAGUUAGUAAUUAGGUUAUUCAGAGUCAUUGAUUUAGCCUGUGUCUAAAACCAAGCAAUGUAGAUGGCUGCCAAAUUCACUAAUGGCAGCAGCAUGUGGUGAAGGUUAAAGAAGAUUUGAUAACUCUUUUAGGUAUUUAAAAUAUUUGUAUAUUUUUAAAAAUCAAACUUAUGAGACAGUGCAUGCAGUAGUGAAAUGUAUAUAUAUAGCUCAUUUGAGGAGUACUCUUAGGGUUGUGGUUCUCAAAUAGGGACAGUCUCUUGCCGUACCCUCCCCCACCCCCCAACAUUUGGCAAUGACUGGAGACAUUUUUGAUUGUCACAACCUGAAGAAUGGUGCUCAUGGCAUCUAGUGAUUAGAGGCCAGUUAUGCUGCUAAACAUCCUGCAAUGCACAAAGUCAGUCUCCUCCCCUCUCUGCAAAGAAUUAUCUGGUCCAAAAUGUCAGUAGUACUUAGGUUGAGAAACCCUACCUUAGGUAUUAAAACUCAAGCUUCAAUUUAUGUCAAUGCUAAGCCUGCAGCUACACUGUUAAAUCCACAGACCUGUAUACUUCUACAACUUGUUGUGUAUACAAGGUGUGAUUAGAAUGGUUGCACUUUUAAACAAAUAUAACUGACACACUUGCAUGCUUAUGCACAGAAAUCCAGUUGAAAGCUCCACCUUCACAAUAGUUCUCUUGGGAAGAGUUUGCAUUUAUAUGAUUCUGCCAUUUUUUUAAAUUUAUUUUAAGUUUCAGGAUACAUGUGCAGGACCUGCAGGUUUGUUACAUAGAUGAACACAUGCCAUAGGUUCUGCCUUUUUUAUAGUUGCCUUUGAAACCUGGAGCAUACCCUUUAAAUCUCCUUAAUGGUACCAAAUUAUCUUCCGAAGGUGGAUUUGGAAAUAUCCAGUGCUUUCUGAAUGCAUUGUGAUGGGUGUAAUCAGGUUGGGUAGUAAUUCUAUUGUAAGGUGAAAUUGAGAUAUGGCUAUAAAAUAAUAAUUGGUGGUUUAAAAGUAGUGCUUUUACAAAAUCUUUUCAUCGGUAAUUAAGUGUGUCAUAAUCUCAAUUUGAAGAGGUAUGUGCAGAUGUUCUAGAAUUAUUAAAACAAAAUCAGUAUCAGAAUGUCAAAUAUUUAAAAGAUUGUUGUCUGGGAUCAAGGGAAACAGCCACUGUCACAUAAUAUUGGGAAGGUACUUUGGCACAAUUUGGUAAUACUAUUAAUUUUUUUUUUUUUUUUUUUUGAGAUGGAGUCUCGCUCUGUUGCCAGGCUGGGGUGCAGUAGCAUGAUCUUGGCUCACUGCAAUCUCCACCUGCUGGGUUCAAGCGGUUCUUCUGCCUCAGCCUCCCAAGUAGCUGGGAUUACAGGCACGUGCCACCACACCCAGCUAAUGUUUGUAUUUUUAGUAGAGAUGGGGUUAUAUCGUGUUGGCCAGGAUGGUCUUGAUCUCCUGACCUCAUGAUCUGCCUGUCUUGGUCUCCCAAAGUACUGGGAUUACCGGCGUGAGACACCGCAAAAUGUUCAUAUUAUUUCACUUAGGAAUUCUGUCUCUAGCCAUUUGUUUACAGACAUUUUUACACCAGUAAGGAAAGAUAUGAAAAGUGCUGUUUCUUGGAGGUUUGUUUGUAAAGUGGAAAAAUUAGAAACAACCCAAUACCUGUAUUAAUAGUAUUAGUAUUGUGAUCAGUAUUAUUGAUCACAAAUCAUUAGUAUAUCCUUGAAGUAAAAUACUAUACACCACCAAAAAAUGAAGGUAUAAUGUGUACUGAUAUAAAAAGAGCUAUCAAAUAUAUUAAAUGGGGUGGGGGGAAGGAAGCUGUAAAAAGGAAAAAAAAAACCCACAAAAGUAGUAGGUAUGGCAUGUGAUACCAAACUAUAUAUGCAAGACAUGCAUAGAAGAGAGACCUGGAGGAAUAAAUACUAAAUGUAAUGGGAAUAGGAUAGUUUCCUAUAUUUCAGACUUGUUUGAUUGUAUUGUAAUGUUUUACAAUCAGGAAAAAAAAACUAAAACCGUGAGACAGUGAUCUUACUUAUAACUAGCUCUUUUAAGAUUUUGAAGCAGUCCUUUGUAUUAGUACAUAGCUACCGAUCUUUCUGCAGUUCUGUUUUUAUAUUAAUAAAUACCUAAAAUUGGCCAGAGAUUCCUAGGGCAUUGUUCUUCAUCUGAAGUUAUUUACUGCUUUAAAACAUUUUAAAAUUCUUCAUUGUGAAAGUAUCACAGUUACUGUGUCUUUUUUUUUUUUUUUUUUUUUUUUUGAGAUGGAGUGUUUGUUGCUCUGUUGCCCAGGCUGGAGUGCAGUGGUGCGAUCUUGACUCACUGCAAGCUCCGCCUCCCAGGUUCAUGCCAUUCUCCUGCUUCAGCCUCCCUAGUAGCUGGGACUACAGGUGCCUGCCACCAGGCCUGGCUAAUUUUUGGUAUUUUUAGUAGAGAUGGGUUUUACUGUGUUAGCCAGGAUGGUCUUGAUCUCCUGACCUCAUGAUCUGCCUGCCUCGAGCCUCCCAAAGUGCUGGGAUUACAGGUGUGAGCCACCGUGCCCGGCCUACUGUGUCUUUUUUAAAAUCUUGGGCUUUGAAAUACCAGUGUGGUAAACUGCUAAUCUGUGUUUACCCUGCAGGUGGCGCUGGUGGUUUUGUGGUGUUCUUCAGCGUGACUCAAGUAAAAUUCCCUUCAGCUGGGAAAUCACUUAGAUAUUGGUUCUGCUUGUAGAAUGUUAUCUUUCAUGUAAUCUGUUGAAUAUCAGACAUUUUCUUACUAUUAUUUCAAGAAAUACAUGUAGCAGGAAAAAAUCUACUAACAAAUUAUUAGGAUAUAAUUAUAUUUUAUACCUUAUUUAUCUACUUUAUUAUUCAUUACAAUUUCUGGGAAAAUUAAAUUUAUUUCAGCAGUUCAUUACUUUCCAACUCCCUUAAAAUUCCAAAACUUCAUCAAAAAACUGGCAGUAGAACUAAUUUUUUCAAAUUAAUUCUCUUUGAAGUCUUUCAUUUUCCUUUCUGUUUGUGUGUCUGACUCCCCCUUUCUUUCUCUCAGUCUGUCAAGUUCAAGAGCAGCUCAGAUGCCAUGAAUUAAGUGGAGCACAAAAGGGGGAAAGGAGACCCUUUUGAAGAACAAAGGCCUCCCAUUAGGCUGCCAUGUUCUUUUUUGACCAAAAGUGCACCCUACAUGGUUUCUAUUGUUGUCCACAUGCCCUGCACAUAAGGUAAAUACAGCAGAUCCUCAUUACCUCACGUUUUCCUCCUCUUCCUCCUAUGCCACACACAACCAGUGAAGCUUUGGGUCUUUGAUGUCUUUAGGCAUUCUUAUACAGUUGCUUUAUCUCCUUUUAAAAACCUACAGGGGUAGAAGUGGAAGUGGAGAGCAAUGCACACCGAGUAGUAAAACCUCACAAGAAGGGAAAAUGAGCUGUUAGAGAAGCUGCAACCCAGGAAUCCAGGGCAAGUGGAAAGAUCCAGAGAUUUUACUGUUGUUGUUCUCUAUUCUCUGUCUUUUAAUCCUAUAGCUUAAAAAUCCUGUAUUUUUAAAGUAAUAACUUUGAUUUACAUUCACUAUAGUUUUUCCUCCCUUUGUCCGUGUAACAAGACAGGCAGGUGGGAAUAAAUUUAAUUGCUGAGAGCAGUUCAUGUAAUGAUCAGAAAUUCUUGCUAAUCUGCUCCUACUUAUUGGAUGUUGGCUCUUUGGUGUCAUGGAGAUGGCUUUACUGUAGGUUUGUUGUGUUGCAUUACUUUUCAUUGGGAUUGAACUGAGAAAUAACAAACAAGCUUUAAGUGGGAAAUUAAAAAAAAGAAGUAACCUAUGUAGAUCCAAACUUAAAAUGUGAGAAAUUAUUGAAAUUUCAUUUUCUACAAACUUGAAAUUAGCCUGCUAAUUGUAAAGUUGUUUUAAUAAUGCUGACAAAUGUCAGUUACGUUUGCAAAGGAGUGUAUGGUUCUAGGUAUUUGCCUACUGUUAACCGUUGAGAAAAACAUUGUCAGGUUAGCAAGUCUAUUGAAAUAGAGACCUCCUUAGUUUACAGCAAAGAAUAAAUAGCUGAUGACUGGAGAUUGGGACUAAGGUUUUAUUUAUUUAUAUUCUUUGAAAGAAAUCGGACAGUUAAUAAGUGGUUUGUGGUAGAGUUGAAGGAUGUCUGAGAGAUGGAAAGAGAGUGACAAAGGAGGAGAAGGAAUAGUAUUUCUUUUUUAGUAUUGUUUUGAAAUUAAAACUCUGUUAUUUUAAUAUGGUAAAGAGCAAGAGUUGGGUUGGGCGCGGUGACUCACGCCUAUAAUCCCAGCACUUUGGGAGGCCGUGGUGGGCAGAUCACCUGAGAUUAGGAGUUUGAGACCAGCCUGGCCAACAUGGCGAAACCUUGUCUCUACUAAAAAUACAAAAAUUAGCCAGGUGUGGUGGCACAUGCCUAUAAAUCCCAGCUAUUUGGGAGGCUGAGACAGGAGAAGCACUUGAACCUGGGUGACAGAGGUUGCAGUGAGCCGAGAUCCCGCCACUGCACUCCAACCUGGACAACAGUGUGAGUCUCUGUCUCAAAAAAAAAAAAAAAAGAGUAAGAGUCGAACUUAGGACAACGUAUGUUUUCUUUUUUUUCUGACGUUGAGCUAAUGGUGGGCAAUUUGUGACUUAACAUUUAGUGACCACCUUGAACUCUCCCUGAGUUUGUGGGUCUGCCCUUUUAGGAUUAUAGAGGUGAUUCAGUGGUGUUAAAAACAACAUUAAAGGGAUUAAAGAAGUAAUUCCUUUGUAGGAACAGUAGUAACAUUUUAUUUUGAAAAUUUCAUGAGGAAAUUUUUAGUAUUCCUAUUUUUUUCCCCAUAUGUUCUUCAAAUAAAUAUACAUAGCACAUUCAACAUUUUUGGUCCUAAGAAUUUCUUAUAUUAAAAUCUGACUAGCAUAGCUGAAGUUAAAAAAAAAAGGCCUGUUAACUACUUGAGGAAAUGUUUUGACUCUUUAUGGACCCUGAAUAUUGCUUUUCAGGAAGUAUUCCUUGUUUUGUUUUUUUGGGUACAGCAGUCUGCAAGAAGCCUUUGGUUUAUGUACUUGGCAGCAAAAUAAAAGGCAAAGAGCUUCUUGCUGUGUGUUAUGUAGGAAAUUACCAUUCCUGUUGUCUGUGUAGGAUGUUCUAAAGAUGUAGCCAGGAAUCUCAGAGGAGAGAGAGAAGAGACAGAGAGAGAGAGACAGACAGAGAGUCAGACUUGUAGUUCUAAUAUUUUCUUGCUUUUGCCUCUGCCUCUGGUCAUACAUUGGAUUGUUUUUCUGCUUUUGUUCCUUGGGGUGGCAUCUGUCUUCAGGAGAAAUCACUCCAUAGUCAAACACAGAUUGCUGAACUGUGGCAUUUUUGCUGUUACUGUUAUCCUGAAUUUACUGGGAACAGUUUUAAUAUGGGUGCAUUUAAACACUUGUUUGUGGAUAGGGAGAGAUGGAGAGUGAAAUUUCAUUCUCUGUUGAAUGCUCCGUCUCCUGCCCAGCACAUUUCUGCCCCUUCCACAUGGUUUUUCACUAACUCCUGAAUGUUUCUCUAUGCUAAUCUGAAAGCUCUACAGCAGAGACUACACAUUUAUACAGUUCCCCACAUACAGGGUCACUUUAUGAAAUGAAUUAUUUCUUGACAUUUUUCAGGUUUGUGAUUGUACCUUUCCAAGCCAGUGUUAACACAUUUCAAAUAUUGUGAAAAGUUGAAUUUAUGCUAGCAUUGUUUUAAUUAUUUAAAUAACUUAACAUUUUAGAACCUUGUGGCUUUAGAUUUAAAGAGGUAUCAAGUCCUUAAAACAUUUUCGGUUAUUAUCCUAAUAUUAAUACAAUAAUAGUCAUUAGACAAAUAGUAAAUUUUAAAAAGAAUAAAAAUUAAAAAGAACACCUAACUGGGAAAGUGGGAGAGAAGCCAUUUAAAACAAUAAACUGAAACUCUUUUCCUGAGUUUCCUUAGAAGCCAUUUGGACAAUUAAUGGAGAGAUUUUAAACAUUAAAUGUAUUUGUGACUAAAACUUGCCUUUUCAACAAGACACCCGAACUGCCAAGACUUCACAGGGGUCUCAUUGUAGAGAAUUAAAAUUCAAUGAUGGUUGAAAGAGAAAAGGCAUAAUAAGAUUGGUCAGACUUCUAUAUUUAUUCAAAGAUUGAGCAUGAAAAGAUUUGGAGCUUUACAGUAUUUCAAGGAAGUAGGAUGUGUAAAAAGUUGAGAUGGGUGGCUUAUUUUCUGACAUGAGUAGAUUUUGAUUUAAAACAUUCAAGCUGUGCCCUGGGGAGAGGGAUGUGUAAGGAGGGAAGGAAUCUGAUGAAAUGAGGACCUCAGAGAGUUUCUGUGGAAGGCUUAGAACUGGAAGUGGUGAAUUAGUGAACCAUCAAGAAAGAGAAUAUUUUUAUAGACAUUUAUAAAUUUUUAUUUCCACAAACAUUGGAAAUAAUGUAGGAAUAGGCAAACAAUGGUCCUCAGGUCAAAUUCGUGUUUUCUGUUUUUGUAUGGCCCUUGAGCUAAGAAUGAUUUCUACAUUUUUUUGUGGGGGAAAAUAAAAAGCAUAAUAUUUCAUGACAUUAUAAUUAUAUGAAAUUGAAACAUCAAUAUUCAUAAACUUUUAUUGGGAUAUAACCAUACCCAUUUGUUUAUGCAUUGUCUCUGUAAUAUCUAUAGCUGCUUUUAUGCUGCAACAGCAGAGUUGAAUAGUUGUGGCAGAGACCAUGUGUCCCAUAAACACUAAAAUGUUUACUUUCUGACUUUUUACACGACAGGUUUGCUGUCCACAGAAAUAAAAGAAUGUCCGCAGUAUGUUAGAAUGAACAGUAUACAGUUUUUUGUAAGACUAGGAAUACUUGCCAUUAAUAAAUUCAUUUUCUGUAUUCUUAUAUUUGCUUAUCAGGAAUAAAUGCUUUUUUUGGUGAAUGGUUUUCAUUCUGAAAAAUGUCAAAAUAGUAAAUAUUACCUUUUUUUUUUUUUUUUGACAAUGCCCCCUUUUUUGGCUGGGAAUGUUCUUACUCUGGUUUUGUAAGUAUGUUCCCACACAUUAGGAUUUCAAAAAAAAAAAAAAACCAUAUUCAGAACUGUAUUAGUCAGUUCUUGCAUUGCUGUAAAGAACUUCCUGAGACUGGGUAAUUUAUAAAGAAAAGAGGUUUAAUUGGCUCACAGUUCCACAGGCUGUACAAGCGUGGUGGGGGAAGGCCUCAAGAAACUUAGAAUCAUGGCAGAAACUGAAGGGGAAGCAAGCAGGUCUUUUAUGACCAGAGCAGGAGGAAGAGAGAGAAGUAGGAGGGGCUACACACUUUUAAACAACCAGAUCUUGUGAGAACUCACUAUUACAAGAACAGCAAGGGGGAAGACUACCCCCAUGAUCUAGUCACCUCCUUCCAGGCCCCUCAUCCAACAUCGAGGAUUACAAUUUGACAUGAGAUUUGGGUGGGGACACAAAUCCAAACCGUAUCAUUCUGCCCUGGCCCCUCCCCAAUCUCUCAUGUCCUUCUCACAUUGCAAAAUACAGUCAUCCCUUCUCAGUAGUCCCCCAGAAUCUUAUUUCAGCAUUAACUCAAAAGUCCACAAUCCAAAGUCUUAUCUGAGACAAGGCAAGUCUCUUCCACUUAUGAGCCUGUGAAAUCAAAAACAAGUUAGUUACUUCCAAGAUAACAACACGGGUACAGGCAUUGAGUAAACACACCCAUUCCAAAAGGGAGAAAUCAACCAAAAGACAGGGGCUACAGGCCCUGUGCAAGUCCGAAACCCAGCAGGGCAGUCAUUAAAUCUUAAAGCUCCAAAAUAAUCUUUGACUCUAUGUCUCAUAUCCGGGCAGCACUGAUGCAAGGGGUGGUCUCCCAGGUCCUGAGGCAUCUCUGCCCCUGUGGCUCUACAGGGUACAGCCCCUCGGCUGUCUUUACAGGCUGUCGUUGAGUGCAUGUGGCUUUUCCAGGUACACAGAACAAGCCGUCAGUAGAUCUACCAUUCUGGGGUCUGGAGGACGGUGGCCCUCUUGUCACAGCUCCAGUAGGCACUGCCUCUGUGGCGACUGUGUGUGGGGGCUCCAACCCCACUCCCCUCUACACUGCCCUCGUAGAGGUUUUGCAUGAGGCCUCUGCUCCUGCAGCAGAGUCCUGCCUGGAGUUUCCAUACAUCCUCUGAAAUCUAGGCAGGAGCUCCCAAGCCUCAACUCUUGCCCUCUGUGCACCCGCAGGCUUACCACCACGUGGAAGCUGCCAAGGCUUACAACUUGCCCCAUCUGGAGCAGCAGCCUGAGACGUAUCUGGGCCCCUUUUAGCCACAAAGAAUUUUCUUUCUCUUGGCCUCAGGCCAGUACCUUUUAUGCCUUGCCUAUUAUGUCUGGCAGAAGUGUGGCAGUUGUUGGGAAAGUAACUGGGAGCUCUCAUAGGCUUCUGUAUGAAAAGCUAGGAUAACCACGUUAUGAGUAGUGUAUGGACAAGAACUUGAACUUGUGGUCUUUCCCCUCUCAUCAGCUUCAUAUUGCUUAAGAUAGAAAAAUAAGGGAUUUCAAAAUGUAAGAGUGAAAGAAAUUAGAGUUUGACAAAGAUAUAAAAGCCAUAGUUUAAAAUAAAUGUGUUUUAUUUUCUUCCUGAAUAAUUGAGCCUGAACCAGGAGCAUACUGUUCAUGUUUAAUCUCUAUGUGAAAAAACAAGGGUAGUAAUUGUAGAGCAAACUCUUGAUUUAUUCUGAAUGACCACCAGUUACUAACUAAAAAUACGAUUUUCCCCAACUAGGUUUUCUUAUUCCUUAUAAUAGUUGAAGAGUAAUAAGGUUGAGAUUUUCUUUUUGUGUGUUUCUUUGCUCACAUUAAGAAGGUUACUCUAUGCAGAACUUUUUGACUACUUUUAUUAGUUACGUACCCCUCCUUUCCCUUAAUUAUUAAAGCUCUAAUCUCUAGCAUGUAAUGUUUUGCUUUUAAUCUGUUGCUUCUCACCCUGUUGCUUUAGGUAAAGUUUAAGGGGUUUUAUUUUAAUAGGCCUGAGUAGAGAAUGAAACUAUGAAGAAUCUGACUAUAAAACUAGUAACAGAAAUUCACUUGGUUAUUUCAGAUAAUUCCUUUAUCUAAUAUCUUCCUUUCCUCUUCUUUCCUUCUAGGUCUUUUGAGUAUUGCCUGGAAUUUACUAUUUCUGACAAAUUUCUAUAGAACAUGUGGGUCUAUGAGGAAGGUUUCAUUUUAAAUAGGUAGUUACCUAUUUCUGUUAUUUUAUUGUCCUUGUUUUUAGAUGAAUUUUGCUAUGUAUUGGGUCUAUAUUUUGCCCUAGUAAAUAUAGACCAAAAUUACUCUGAAUUUUAACACAGUUAAAAUUCAGUCUUUGCUGAUUAGUAGACUUACUUCUUUGUAGACUCACUGUGUUUCCGAAAGGGUUGGGAGUUAAAAUAGUUUGGUUGUCAUUUGUUCAUAUAUUCAGUUUUCUGGACAAACCAUGAAUUAUAGUAAAGUUACGCUUUCUUGUAAAUCCAGUUCUUGCGAAAAUGCUUGUUGCCUUUCAUUAAUGACAGCAUUUCCAUCUAAAAAUAAUGACAACCCUCUCAUUUUCCUUUACAGCUCCUUCUUGUUUUCCACCUUUUUUGUUGUCUUUUAGAAAGAUACUCUUCUGAAACAUACUACUUUUAGUCCUGAGAUUUGCAGUGAAUGAAUUGCAACUGAUGAACUCUGGGGCUGCUAAUCUUACUUAGUCAAAUAAAUGUAUUUUUUUUUUUUUUUUUUUUUGAGACAGGCUCUCACUCCAGGUUGGAGUGCACGAUCACAGCUCACGGCACCUUUGAGCUCCCAGGCUCAAGCAGUCCUUCCACCUCAGCCUUCCCCCAGUAGCUGAGACUACAGGCUUGCACCAUCAUGCCUGGAUUUGGUUUUUGUUUUCUUUGUAGUGAUGGAGUCCCAGUAUGUUGCCCAGAGUGAUCUUGAACUCCUGGGUCAAGUGAUCCCCCCACCUUGCCCUCCCAAAGUGUUGGGAUUACAGGUGUGAGCCACUGUGCCCGGCUGUAAUAAUUAUUGAUAAUAGAACUAUGAUGAGAACAAUAGUGUUUUCUUACAGAAGACUUUUUUUUUUUGGCUUAUUUAAAAACUGUAUUAAAACUUUAAAUGUACAUCAUUCUUCAGUAUGACUACAGAAGGCCGCAAUGGCCCUGAUAUCUCUACUUGUUCUUUCUGAAAUUGAAGAUGGGGCCAAAUACUGUGUCUAAUUCAACAGUUCAGAUUUUUCAUUCCCACUUUUUAAAGUGUUAGUGUUCGCUUGAGCACACAGGCGAGAUUAUGGGAUCUUAACAUUUGAAUCACCUGGCAGAACUCUGAAGGUUUAGGGCAAGGAAAAAAAAGACAUCCCAAAAUUCUAUGCUUACUAUCACCCUGUCUUAGUAAUGGUAAAUUUUAAAUUCUACCACCCCCUGCCCAAAAAGAUGGGGUAAGAAUAAUGAUUGGUUAAGUGAUACAUGGAAGACUGCUACAUCCUAAAAAAGACUGAUGGAUGGUUCUGUGAAACACUGCUUAUGUCUUAGCUAUUUUCCAUUCUGAGGUUUCUGUAUAAGAAUAUCUUGUGCCCUGGAAAUAUUCAAGAAAAAGUACUUUAGAUGAGUCUUAUUUAAUAACUUAAGAUUUUAUAACAGAGAUGGUGGUUUGUGCCACAUUAUAUCCAGCAGUUAGCGAUCUAAGAACAAAAUAUUUAGCUUAUACUAGAAGACAACAGUAGUCCCCCUUUAUCUGCUGUUUCUUUUUCUGUGGUUUCAGCUUCCCACAGUCAACUGCUGUCCAAAAAUAUUAAACGGAAAAUCCAAGACAUAAUUUAUAAGUUUUAAGUUGCAUGCUGUUCUGAGUAGUGAGAUGAAAUCUCACGGCAUCCCACUCUGUUCUGCCGAGGACGUGAAUCUUUCCUUUGUUCAGUAUAUCCCAUGCUGUAUACACUACCUGCCUGUCAGUCAUUCAGUAGCGGCCUAUGUUAUCAGAUUGGCUGAUCAUUGUAUUGCAGUGCUAUGUUCAGGUAACACUUAUUUUACUUAUAGUGGUCCCAAGGUGCAAGAGUAGUGAUGCUGACAUAUUAUUAUAACUUCUAUUUUAUUAUUCUUAUUGUUAAUCUUACUAUGCCUAAUUUAUAAAUUAAACUUAAUCAUAGGUAUAUAUAUAUAGGAAAAACAUAGUGUUAUAUAGGGUUCAAUACUAGCCCCAGUUUCAGUUGGGGGUCUUGGAAUGUGCCCCCCACAGAUAAGAGGGGACUAUAUUCUUAUAGAAGAAGAGUUUGAUUUUUUAGGACGUUAUUUCCUGUUCAAACCAUUGACCCACUCUUUGAGAUAAGUUAUUCUGAAGCUUUCAUAUAAGUAAAAGCAAUUAAAUUUUGCCACCAGCACCAUCCUCAACCAUUCUGAAUUAUAAAGUGUUAAAAUUAAGAACAGGAAGAAUGGAAGUAUUCAAUAAAAAAUGAAGUAUUUUCAGUUCCAUAUUGUCAUCAAAUAAGGGUGGGAAAGGCAAAGGAGAAAAUCAAUAAGUAUGGAGAAGAAAGAAAUGAGUAGAUAGAACAAAAAAGAUGAGAAAGGAAGCCAUAUUGAAGUCAGGAGAGAGUGCAGAGCAAGAAAGGAUGGGCAGAAAAAAAGAAAACAAGAAAGGAGUUUAAUGAGUGAGUAGAAUGUGCUCUUGUUGCAUUCUACUGCCAGUCUAAGCCAUGGAAUAGUUCACUAUUCUGGGAAGUAUUCUUAAGAUCAUCAGUGACCUUCAGGUCAUGAAAUCUAAUAAGCAUUCUUUCAGACCUGUUCUUAUUUGACCUCUCAGUGGUGUUUGACACUCUCAACCACCAACUCUUUGUGAAACCUUUUUUUCCCUGAAAGCUGUGAGGUCGUGCUUUCUCGGUUCUCUUCUCAUGUCUCUGGUAACUCCUGCUUUGUCUACUUUGGGUUUUUUGUUUUGUUUUGUUUUUUGUUUUUUAAGAGUUGGGAUCUUGCUCUGCUGCCUAGGCUGGAGUGCAGUGGCGCAAUCAUAGCUCACUGCAACCUCACACUCCUGGGCUUAAGUGAUCUACCUGCCUUGGCCUCCUAAGUAACUGUGUUCAUUUGACACAGUUUAGGAACUAAAGAUCAGGUAAAACCAGCCAGUUCCUGAGCUGGAAUUGAAUCUGUUCAGAAUGUCUGGGAACUAACUCCAUUUUUACGUGUCAACCAUACCUGGCUAAUUAAAAAAAAAAAAAAAAAAUUGCCUAGGCCAGUCUUGAACUCCUGACCUCAAACGAUCCUACCUCAGCCUUCCAAAGCCUCGGAUUACAGGCAUGAGCCACCUCACCCCAGCCACCUUUGUUGUCCAGAGAUGUCAGAUUUUGUGAAAGCUCAGUCCUAGGCUUCCAUUUCUUUUCAUUCUACGACCCAGCAAUUAUAUCUAUCCCAAUGGCCUCAGUUACUACUCGCUGAUGCCGCAUGCCAUCCUCUGGUGUCCCACAUGUCAGUGAAUAGCAUCACCUUUUUUAUUCCAGUUUUCCAAGUUAAAGACUUAGGAGUAAUUCCUAAUACCCCCUCUCCCUCACUUCCCAAAUUCUUACUGUACUAAGGCCUGUCUAUUUGACAUCCUUUAAUAAUUUUCAAAUCCAUAUUCUCUGCUGUCUUAGUCUGAGUAGGAUUAUCUCCCCCUUGCAGCACAAUAGUAGCCCUCCAUAUCCUUGUUAAAUUUGUUCUGUACACUGAAGCUAGGGUACUGUAUCCUAUGAAAACACAAAUCCAGUCAUGUCAUUCUCCUCCAUAGCAUUAUUUCCUGCUACUCUUAGGAUAAAGACUAACAUUCCCCAGGCCUACUUCUCCACCUCCCCUCUUAUUUUUCAAACCCUCUGCACUUGAGCCACUGAGACUUUUGUUCAGAUUCUCACAGGUACCAUGCUCUGACCUUUUACUUCUCUGCUUAGUCAAUUUCCAUUUCAUUCUUCACGUCUCAACACAAAGACUGUUUCUAUAGAAAAAGUGAUUAUUGAUAUAUGGUCUUGUAAGAUUCUGUUCUUUUGCUUAUAGCAUUUAUCAUAAUUUGUUAUUAUGUAUCUCUGAGACUGAAAACUCCCAAGAGGGAUGGGACCUUGUCUGCUUUACUCACUGCUGUAUCUCCAGCACCUGGCACAUGGUAGGGAUUUCAUAGAUAAUGGUUAAAUGACUUGAGUUUGUCCUUUCUCUAGAUCUAGGGUAUUUGUCAUUUGUCCAUAAAUUUUGCUUCAGGAAAUUUUAGGGCUCAGCAUAAUCUGAUUAGGCUUCAACGAUGAAGAUAAUGUUACAUUUAUCAUUCGACACAGUUUAGGAACUAAAGGUCAGGUAAAAUCAGCUAAUUCCUGAGCUGUGGAAUUGAAUCUGUUCAGAUUGUCUGGGAACUUUAUUUUUACCUGUCCUGACAAGUCUUCUAAAAAAAGAUACGUUGACUUAGCUCACUUUUCAGCAAGCGUUUCAGUGCUUACAAUACGCCAGACAUUUUGCAAACUUUAAUUGGCUAUCCCCUUCAUUUGUUUUUCUAUUUUAAUAGAAUUUAAUAAAAUUCUAUUUUAAUAGAAUUUAUUUUAAAUUUGGUUUUCAAGACCUAUUUCACAUGGGUACAUAUUUGUGUCUUUGAGUAUGAUUCUUUAAGUAAAACACUUUGCAAAUAAAAUGAUCAUCUGAAAGAUAUUUUUUCAUUUGAUUGUAAUUAGUUAGGUAAAUUAAGGGGAAUACAUAAUUACACAGCUUAAAGAUAUUCAAAUGCUAUUGGAACAGGAUUGGUGUCUCCAUGUUCUUCCAUUUCCUUCUAUUCCCCCCUGAUUAUAAUGGUACACAGUGCUUACAGCAUACGCCUGAUAAUGUUAAAUGAACACACAUUAUGUGUAGAAUAUGCAGAAUCAUGGGUAGUGGUAUGUAACAAAUGUUGUUAACUGAUGAGAUAUAGCAAACGUGAAUAAAAAAGGUUUAAUUAACAUGGAUAAAGAAAUUCAGUCUUUUGUUUUAUAAUGUAAUGCAACUGACCUCUGCCCUGUGAUGCAGACAAGAGCUGUUACAAGUUAUCAAAAGUAAGUUUAUGAAAAAGAUCAUUUUUCUUAUUGAUGUUGUGUCCCCCCAUGACAGAACAUGUAACAGAGUUAAGAGAAUAAUGUGUGACCUACCCUCGCAAUCCAGAUAAAUAUAGAAAUUCUUGAUAAUUUAGUUAUAUGAGCUUGAGUAAUAUUUUAAAGGUGAGAAGAGUUAUGACUUAGAACAGAGGAAAAAUGUGAUUCUUGGUAGAGGGAACUGCAGCUUAAAUGUUCCAGAGGGGGCCGUGCAUGGUGGCUCACACCUGUAAUCCCAACUACUUGGGAGGCUGAGGUAGGAGAAUUGCUUGAACCCUGGAGGCGGAGAUUGCGGUGAGCUGAGAUUGCACCACUGCACUCCAGCCUGGGCCUCAGAGCGAGACUCCAUCUCAAAAAAAACCAUAUGUUCCAGAGGGAAUAAAUAUUGAUGGGAGUUGGGUGGGGACAGAUGAUGGAUGGAACUUAAGUUCUGGAAGGGUUAGCAAGCAGGUUUACUUGUCUAGAUUGAGAAAAAAGUGAUUCAUGGAAACUAUGUUUGGAAACAUAGGAUAAGCACUCUGACUUGACAAAAUGAUUUGUAUUUAAAACCAUAUUGUUGGCAGGGCAUAGUGGCUCACUCCUGUAAUCUCAGCACUUUGGGAGGUCGAGGUGGGCAGAUCACCUGAGGUCGGGAGUUUGAGACCAGCCUGACCAACAUGGUGAAACCCCGUUUUUACUGAAAAUACAAAAAUUAGCCAGGCGCCUGUAAUCUCAGCUAGUCUGGAGGUUGAGGCAGGAGAAUCGCUCGAACCCAGCAGGUGGAGGUUGCAGUGAGCUGAGAUUGUGCACUCCAGCCUGGGCGACAGAGUGAUACUCUGUCUCGGGGAAAAAAAAAAAAAACUUAUUGUAAAUGUGUGAUAUCAGAAAUAAUAAAGCUUUCCUCUCCAGAUCUUAUGAAAAUAAAAGUGGACAUGAUAUGUAGCAAAUAUGCUUGGUGUUUGAGCUUGAUUUUUUUUUUUAAAGAGAGAUUUUAUUGCCAUUACUGUUAUGUAGGGUUUUUUUUUUUUUCAGACUUUUAGUUUUUAUAGCUAGUCUAUUCAUUUGGAGAAUGUGGAAAAAUAACUCUGAACACUUCCCACUAGUGAACAUGUUAGGCUCUCAAUAAAACAGUUUCUAUAGUCAGUCAUCCUGUAUCAGUGUCAGCCAGAAUUACCUAAAGGUAUGAACAGUAUUAUGACAGUUACCUUUAAAACGAUAGGCAACACUGGGCUUUUACAUGGCCCUUUGUGUCAAGAUGUGUUACAGAUCAGUUUUGCUUCCUUUGUUUUGAAAUGAUUUUGAUUUAGCCUUUUGUGAACCUUUGACUUUUCUUCCCAUUUCACUAAGAUAACUUCUUUUGCAUGGUCUUUGAAUAGUCUCAUUUUUUAAAAAGUCCUAAGCAUAAAAAGUAAGAUUUUCCUUCUUUCCAACCCUUUCUGUGAAAUUAUAAUUGUGCUAAAGUAUCAGCUUAGAUUUCAAGCAGUCCUCAUGCCAAAGGCGUUUAUUAAGUGUUUAUAUGUUUGUUACUAUGCUGUAUUGUAUCAAUAAAGUAGGAACACACAGGAGUCACAUCUAUUAAGUGCUUUUAAAGUGCCUGGUAACACUAAUGUAAAUCAUAUUUUCAAUGUCAUUCAUAUAAAUAGUGUCAAGUCCUGCCUGCCCCCUCUCCACCAAAGCUAAGUAUCUUAAAUGCUAAGUAUCUUACAAGAUUACAUCCCCAUAGGAAGAGGGUGGAGUGUUUAGUCUUCAUUUGUGACUGGUUUAAAUGAAUAGAUACAGUUCUCCAAAGGUCCAUUUAUAGACCGGUCUUAACUUAAAAUGUACAUAAUGUAUUUGGGUAUUGACGAAAGAGUCAAACUCUGUAAAAUAUUUAAAGCGUCUUAUUCUGAGCCAAAUAUGAGUAACCAAGACCUGUGAUACAGCUCUAGGUGUGAUAGAGUUAACUGGGUGACAACUGAAAAGUGAAAUGAGGGUUGCCUGACAUCUGAGAAUCAUUCUGGAGUGAGACAGUCUGUUAAGGAGUAUUUGAUCAGGAAGAAGGUAGUGAUAAAAGAAAAACCUCGGCUGAAUUAAAUUUAAAAGAAUUUAAUUCAGCAACUGACGGUUUGCCAAUCGGGCAGGCCUCCCAGCCAUAGUAGGCUCAGAGACUCCAGUGCAGCCACAUGAUGGAAGAAGAUUUAUGGACAAAAAAAGGAAAGUGAUGUAUAGAAAAUGGGAGUGAGGUACAGAAACAGCUGGAUUGGUUACAGCUCAGCAUUUGCCUCAUUUGAACAUGGUUCAAACAGUUGACUACAUUUGAUUGGCCAAAACUCGGUGAUUGGCGUAGGUGUAGGCUACGGUCUGGUUACACCUCCACUUGUUAUAGUUCACCAUGUACAGAAAAACCUUUAGCCAAACUUAAAAUACGUAAUGAGGCAGCUUUAGGCUAAACUUGGUUUAACAGUAGAGACUUUUCCUUUUUGUUCCAGACUUGUAAAUUCUGCUGUCUGUUGAACUUCUCUCAACGGUGCAUCACAUUAAACAUAUCCAAACUCAUUCUUCUCCCUUUCAGGCCACACUUUUUCCUCUACUCAUAUUUUCCUGCUCAUCUCCUUCACUCAGUUGCACAUGUUACUUAGUACCAAGGCUUCCUUCUUUAUAUUGUUCAUACCUAGUUCUUUUCCAUUCUCAUGGCUACUACUUUAAUUCUAGCUCCUACUCUUGCCUAGGGUUCAUGGACUGGCUCCCUCACUAUUUUCAUACUUACUCCCUCAAAUCUAUAUUCAUACUGUUACUUAAGUAAACAAAAGAAUUUUUUUUCUUAUUUUUUUUUUUUCUGAGACGAGUCUCGCUCUGUCGCCCAGGCUGGAAUGCAGUGGCGCGAUCCCGGCUCACUGCAAGCUCCACCUCCCCAGGUUCACGCCAUUCUCCUGCCUCAGCCUCCCGAAUAGCUGGGAUUACAGGCGCCCGCCACCACGCCCAGCUAAUUUUUUGUAUUUUUUAGUAGAGAUGGGGUUUCACCGUGUUAGCCAGGAUGGUCUCGAUUUCCUGACCUCGUAAUCCGCCCGCCUCGGCCUCCCGAAGUGCUGGGAUUACAGGCGUGACCUACCGCGCCUGGCCAAAAAUUUUUAAAUUUCUAUUACAUCCCUCUUGCUUAAAACUCCUAAAACCACUCAGCUUUAAGGACUAACUUUAAGAAGUUGAAACUUAAAUAUGAGGACCUUCAUAAUGUGGUCCUUGUCUAUCUUUCCAGCCUCUUCUCCUGUCACUUUUUUGCCUCUUCUUUUCACUCUGUCUUACUGGUGUUUCCUGAAUUUAUCAUCCCUGUCACACCUCAUUUUCUUCCCAUGUUCUACUUUUUCUGUACUUUUCCACCCUCAUAAUACUGCUUUCCCUUGUUUCUACUUCUCAGGGAAGCCUGCUCUAACUUUCCUAUAGGGUUUAGAUAUUGCACCUCUUCUCUGCCCCAUUAGCUUCCUAGCAAAUGGGGUUAAAUGCAGAGCUUGCUCCAGAGGCCUACUGUCCAGGUUAAAACUUUAGCUUCACUCUGCUGAUUAUGUCUUCUUGGGCAAUUUACUAAAUAUCUCUGUCUCUGUUUUCUCAUAUGUAAAAUGGGAGUUACAAAAGAACUUCAUAGGGUUGUUCUUGUGGGAGUAAAUUGAUGUAUGUUAAACACUUAGAAUAAUUGUGCUUGGCACAUGUUAACACUUACUGAACAUUAACCUAUUACUAUCUUGUGUAUACCUCAUUCAUAGGACAGAUUAUUUGAUAUUGAACUUCUGUUUUACUUGUUUCUUCCUCUAGUACAUUGUGACCCUUUUUUGAGGGCAGGAACUAAAUCUUAUCAACUUAAAGUUUAUUUAAAAAUAUUUGAGCAUCCAUUAAAUCAUUGAUACUUGGCUAAGUCCAAAUUACGGCCUGUUUUGUGAGACCCCUUUUUACAUUUUUGUAAAAUGUAAAAAGCCAUUACCAACAAAAAGGAGGAAAAAAAAAAGAGGAAGAAGAGUAUGGACAGAGAACAUGGGCCAACAAAGCCUGAAAUAUUUACUACCUAUAAUUUUCUUAACAGAAAACAUUUGCUGAUCUCUGAGCUAGACCUCUUGAUGUUGAUGUUACACAUAACAUGAUUAGAAUCCAGUAAAUGUUUGCUGGAAUGAAUGGAUGGUUGGGUAGAUAGAUAAAUGACUAGGAUAAGAAGAUCAGAAUUGUGUGUAUUGGUGAUUAUUUCUUAAGACGUGACAGCAAUAUGAAAGUCAGUGAAGAGUCUGAAAUAGUUGCUUUCUCAUUUGGUGACAUGAGACUAGACUAUUUGCACUUUGUGGGUAGGAAUGUUUUAGGGUCCUGUGUCUUUCUGUUGUGUUUGAGAAGUUGGACACAAGAAUGGUGUUCAAAUUCCUGGUAUUAACAUGUGAAGAAGACAAGAAUUUGCUAUUUUCUAUAGUUUGUACAGAUGGAAAGUGUCAAGCGGUCUUCUGUGUUUUCCAUUAAGCAUUCCUUGCUGUUAUUGCUAGGAAUAUCAUAAAGGAGAGGAUCCUCACUGUCAUUUAAUAAAUAAUAAUAACAGCCUAAGUGGUUAAUUUUGUUCCUUAUCCCUACAGUAAACAAAUAAUAAAUACUUUGAAUUUAACUAGCUUAAUAUUCUGUUGGUGUAGAAUUGUGGAGAUAGAUAAGGCUGAGUAAAUUCAGGCCAGAUUCUUUAAUAUUUAUUUUUGACCGCUCUUAGGGAUUUUGACCAAAGCAAUUUACCCUCUAACUGUCCUAUUUUGUAUUUGUGGUAUCAGAACAAUUUUUCUUCCUUCAUUUUUAUUUCCUUAAUGAUUCAACUUUCUGUCUGCUCUAAACAGUAUAUGUGUUAAAGCUAAUGUCCAAAUGGUAAUAAAUUUUUUUUGUUAUUAAUUGAUAAUUGUUUGGAUGUUGCUAUUCUGAAAAGGACCAUAAAGAGUAUUUACACCAAGUCUUUAGUUUUACAGAUAGGUCAGUUAUUUAAAAAUCACAAAGGUUCUUGAUAGUAGAAUGACAGCGAAAAGCUGGUGCUCUGAUAGACCAUGCUGCAUCUCCUACUGUCCUGGUUUUUUAUAUAAUAAGAGCUUACCAUCUUCAGUUACAUUGUUUUGCUGAACUUAAGCUGUGUAUUGCACUCUUUCCAUUGCUACCUGACAGAAUAAUAAUGAUCAAGACUUAAAAUCUAUUUCUAGUUUAUUUUUUAGGUAUUCGAAAAUAUUCUACUGUAUUCACUUUGCCUUUCCCAUUGUGAAUGGUCCAAGAAACUUUAAAAAAUAUAGAUACUGGUAUAACUAUGAUUUGAUACAUUUUAAUAUAGGCAGUGUCAACAUUUUGUGAAUUUUAUGUCAAUAUUAGAUUAUAUUUUUCCUCUUCAAAGGGGCUUUUUAAUGAAAAUUGGGGAAUAACUUGUUUCUAGUCUUGUAAAAUCUUCCUUCAUGGCACCAUGAACUCUCAUACAUACAGUGGUAGACUUUCUACUUUUAUAUUAUCCUUAGCUGUUUUAGUUUAGAAUUCUGUUAGUGCCUUUCACAAUAAAUGUUUGUUGAAUUGAAUUGAACCUUGUGAGUAGAACUGUUUUGCUUUGCUGUUUUGUUGCAAGUAUAACAGAAUAACUUGUCAUUAUUUGCUAUCUAUACUCGAUUCAUUUGUGUUCAUAGUAUUUUCAACAUAUUUUUCUUUGUUUACUUAAAUGUGGAAAUUAUAUUCUAAAUCACUUGGCAGCUGUGAUAUGCAAGAGCAAUAGGCUUAUUAAGUUAAAAGAUGAAGUUUAUGCCUUCAUUCUGCCACUUGUAUAGCAUUUGUAUUAGGACAAUCAGCCUGAAUCUUCUUUCCUCAUCUGUAAAAUAAUGACUGCUUUAUAGAGUUUUGUUAGGAUUAAAAGGGAAUCACAUUUAAGCCUACCUAGCAUGGUAUCUGGUACAUGGAGGGUGUUGAGUAAAUGUUUACCCGGUAAAAAAUGGCGAUAUGUACUUUAGAUGUAUCUUAAGACUAUUUUUGGCCGGGUGCGGUGGCUCACGCCUGUAAUCCCAGCAUUUUGGGAGGCCAAGGCGAGUGGAUCACGAGGUCAGGAGAUCGAGACCAUGGUGAAACCCAGUCUCUACUGAAAAUACAAAAAAUUAGCCAGGCGCAGCAGCAGGCGCCUGUAGUCCCAGCUACUUGGGAGGCUGAAGCAGGAGAAUGGCGUGAACCCCGGGAGGCAAAGCUUGCGGUGAGCUGAGAUCGCGCCACUGCACUCCAGCCUGGGUGACAGACAGAGACUCCGUCUCAAAAAAAAAAAAAAGUAUUUUUAAUAAAGGUUUUAUAGAAUCACAAAACCUUAGAUUUUAAAGGGAUAUCAGAGUUCAAGCCCAGUUUCCCUUUUAAGAAUUAAAUUUCUUCUCUGCCGUAUCCUGGGCUAGUGCUCAUUUAUCAGUUGCUAUUUAAUUUCUUUGUGCAAGGCGCUGUGGUAGGUUUUUGGGAAGCUGCAGAGUUGAUUUAGGACAGAUACUCUUCUCAAGAAGGUUGUUCCGAGUAAGCUUCAUGGAAGAAGUGGCAGUUGAGCUAGAACUUGAAGGAUAGGGUAGAAUCUGAAUCUUUAUAGGGGUUGCCAACUGCAAGAACACAAGGAACAAAGGAGAGAAGAGUUUGGGCAGUUGCAGAAAAUCAUUAAUAAAUGAGUAAUUUUAUUUGACUGGAUUAGGGAAGGUGAAGAAAUAAUGAAAGGUAUGGCUGGAAAAGAAGAUUAUGGCCAAAUAAUAGAGAUCCUGGAUAUAUUGCAACAAUUGGAUUUCCUGGUACUCAUCAGAUGAAGUAAAAUGAAACAUUUUUAACUGGGGGUGAUAUAGUCAGUUUCAUUCAGCUUUUUAAUAUAUAUGCCAAGUUUUAAAUAGUUCUUUAUUAAUAUUAACUUCUUGUAACUUUGAUCUCUUUGCUGUAGUUCAUUCUCUUUAGCCUUAGAGUCAGUCCCUCUUUCAUCCUUCAUGUCAAAUCAGAUACCUGUCAGUUUUGCCCCUAAAACACAUGUAAAGUCUAUCCUCAUUGCUCCUGAGUUACUGUCUCAUGUGGCACAGGAUCAACCAGUAAGUUUCCAUUCCUACUCUCCUGUUUAGAGCAUUCAUCAAAACCUCUGGUAGCCUUUAUUGUCUUAAAAAUAUAGAGAGCAUAGUGAAAACCAUGUCACUGCCCUUGAUUCUUAUCUUCAAAAUUAUAGCGAAGUUAAGCAGUCUGCUAAUUCUUAUUUUCCUGUUGUAGCUAAAGCAGGAAUCACUGAGGUAAUAAGUUAUUGUUUAUGCAUUACCUUAUAUUGUUGAGCACUAGAGAUGUCUGUUAAAAUCAGGGCAGAGAAAUAGACAAGUAAACCACAGUGACAAGGUGGAGUAAAAUAAGUACAUACUUAUUUUGUGUAGUGCUAUGGAAACACAGAAGGGGCAAACAAUACUGUUUUAAAUCUUGCUUUUGAAGAUGGAAAUUAUUGUCUUAAAGCUUAUUCUCAGAGACUUGUGGCAAUAUAAUGGAUUAGAUAACCUGAAAAAUUCUGUGAAAUGUCUACAAAUGUCCAUAACAUUCGUUUACAUGUUUUCCCUGCAAGCUCAAGGAUGUGAAGGAUUUCCCCAGGGCAAUCGAAGAGAAAAAUUAAUGGUUAUCAAGCUAAUGCAGGCGCUGCCCUAAGUAAGGGCCUUUGUUCAAACCACACUCCAGAGCUUUGUGUUGUACUGGAUCUUCUCGAGAAAAGGCUGGAUUUUUCAGGGCAGGGAAAUGGAGCUGAGGAUCCCUGUAUAGAGCUGUAACUCUUAAAGACUUUAUACUCUUAGUAAAAGGGUAGGCUGGGGCGAACAACCACCCACCAGCAAAGUAUACUGAUGAAGGCUUGUCUUUCUUAGCCUUAGAUCCAAAUAGAAGUCUUCCCUGAAAAUUUAAACCAUAACUCUUUUAAAAUACAGGUUUGCUAUUUGAAUUUGUUCACCUGUGUGGUCUGGGAAACCCAGAGAUAAGAAACUAAAAUGAUCCUGAGCUAGAAGUGCCUCAACUGGAGCAGAGGCAAAUAUAUGGCCUUUCUGAAGGAAUGUGCUUUCAACACAAGCUUCUCAUAUUCCUCCAGAUUAAAGUUUUCCAAUAUUAGCCUGUAACCCAAAAUGACAGAACCUAGGAAAAAAGACAACAUCAGAAAGUUGCAGCAAAACAACCAACAAAGGAAAAAAAUAGUCAUUGAAAUUUAGAAACUUAAUGGACAAGUUCAGCAAAUAGAUAUGUUUUGAAGAAUGGUUUAGGAAAUUAACAUAUGUAGUACUGCUUUGUUUUCUCUGAGUCUCUUUUCUCUGAGAUGAAAAAUGCAAAAGAGAAGUUCAAAGUUAUGGAAAAUAGAAUGAGGUUCAAAAUGAAUCUAAUUGGAGUUACACAGAAAGAAUAGGGAUAGUUCUCAGCUGCUAUCAGUUUAAAUACAUACUGGCUGAGAUUUGAUACAAGGCAUGAAUUCUCAGCUUUAGGAAGCACAAUGAAACUCCAAGCGAGAUAGGUAAAAAUUCUGCACCUAGACACAUUAUCGUGAAAAUGCAGAAAAUCAAAUAUAAAGAGAAUAUCUUAAUAGAGAGUAGAAAAAAAUAGAUGAUUGAUCAUAAAAGAGCCACAUUUAACUACUCAGUAGCGAUGAUGGAAGCCUAAAGACGAUCAAGUUAUAAAAUACUGAGAAAAGAUAACUGCCAACCUUAAAUUUUUACCCAGGUGAACUUUAAGAGUAAAGAUGAAAUGACUUUUUGGACAAAUAAAAACUGAGUUGGCUACCAUCAUACAUUCUUUUAAAAGAUGUACUUAAGAGAGAAGGAAAUUGAACUCAGAAGGAAAGACUGAAAUGCAAGAGGGAAUAAUGAGCAGAUAUAUUGGUAGCCUGUGGGUAAAUCUAAGUAAACUACGCUUAUUUUAUGACCUUGGUACAUAGUAAAUGCUUGGCUAACAGAUAUAUUAUUCACCAGUUUUCCUGAAAUAACGUGUUUUCUUAUUCCAUUGUGACAGACAGUGGAAUUGACUUCAUAUUCAGAAAUUAAGAGAAGCUGGAAUCUCAACAGGAUUCCUAACAUGGUUAGUCUUAUUUUUCAAAGUUAACAGAUACAGUGUCUUUAGGAGCUGACUUGGAGUGGCUAGGUUUCUUAAAAGUUUAUGUUGGCCAGGUGUGUGAGCUCAGGAGUUCGAGUCUAGCCCAGGCAACAUAAUGAGGCCCCAUCUCUACAAAAACAGUUAAAAAUUAGCCAGGUGCUGUGGCCUGUGCCUGUAGUUCCAGCUACUCAGGAGGCUGAGGCAGGAGUGUUUGUGCCCAGGAGUUUGAGGUUACAGUGAAUUGUUAUCAGGCCACUGCACUCCAGCCUGGGUGACAGAAUGAGACCCUGUCUAAACAACAGCAACAACAAAAAAACAAAGAUUUAUGUCUACUUAUAGGCUGCUGAACAAAUUUUAAUUUAGAUAUUAACUGACCUUGCCCCCUCCUUACCAAGAUCCUAAUUUUUUGUGUUUGAUUUAUAGUUUGGAUCUAGAAUUUCCGUUCAAAAUGUUCUCAGAUUUCACAAUCAUUAAAUAGAAGACAGUUCUAAAUUUAUUAUUUGAGAACCUGUGCUAAUCUUGGGGGAAACAUUAUAACAAUAAGUAAAAUGGAACUCAGUGCUCUUUAAAUGGCCAAGAACAUCACAAACCGGAAGCUUGGUCACUUGUGGUCCUGACUUGUAAAAAGAAGUAUUUGCUAACCAUGUUUUUAUUUUUAUUUUUUUAAACUAUUGAAUUUCAGGUAGUCUAUGAGGGGAGUAUACUUGUAGUAGCAUUUUGCUAGAUGAGCUGCCUUUAUUCCAAAUCAAUAAAUGAGUGGUCUGAGCACAUGUUUCUUUUUUUGAAAUAGUUUCUUUGAAGUUUUAUUGUGGACUUAAAUCUAAUAUCCCUGACGUAAUAUUUAUUGACUUUCUAGGCAUCAUUCAUUCAUUCAACAAAUGUUUCUGAGUGCUUGUCAGAUUCUACCACUAAGGUUGCUGUACUGAACAUGACUUAUAAGGUGCCUGUGCUCAGCAAGCUUACCUUCUAGUGAGGACUAAACAGAAACCAGACAAGUGAACAGGGUUUAAAUUUAGGAGAAGUACAUACAGAAAAUAAAAUCAGGUGAUGUGAUAGUGACUUCAAAGGGUCUCUCUGAGGAGGUGACAUUCAGACAAAGACAGAGGCCUGGGCAGAAGCAUCUUCAGUGGAAGGAACAGAAAUUCCAAAGGCUGUAAGGUGCUUGUGAGUGAGUUUGGUGUACAUUUACAUGGUGCUGUAAGUGCUGAGAGGGUAUAUUAAUGUGAUGGUUUAAUGUGACUAACAUAUUUUGUGGAAAUUAAUUUUGAUUUUAUGAUCAAUCACACCAGAUUGCCAUAACUUAAAAUUUCUAUCUCAGGUCUUAGGAGUUACACUAACUUUUACUCUGUUCUAUAUUUGGCCAGUGGAACUCAAACCCAUUUGAAAACGUUUGGUCUGAGAUGUUCAUUUAUUUGCUGGCUUGUGUUCUGUUCUCUUUUAGACAGUUUUUUUGUGACCCCAUUGUAAUGUAAAAACAUUUAAAUAUUUGCCAAAUUAGUUGAAUUAUAAAUCUACAUUUUUACAUAGGGAGACAAAAUAUAAUGAAAAAUAAUUAUAGUAACUUGGAAGAGACUUCAAAAGCAGUAUCCAAAACUGCAAAUUAUGUUAUACAGUUUAAGCACUUAGUUCAUUUUCUUUGUAAUAAAACUUAUUCCACAAAUACGUAAUUAUUUACAGGAUUCCUACAUAAAUAAGGAACUACUAAGAUUGCAUGAAGGCUGGGUGCGGUGGUUCAUGCCUGUAAUCCCAGCAGUUUGGCAGGCAGAGGCGGGUGGAUCACUUGAGCUCUGGAGUUUGAGACUAGCCAGGGCAACAUGGCAAAACCCUGUCUCUACAAAAAAUACAAAAAUCAGCCCAGUGUGGUGGUGGUGGUGUGCGCCUAUAGUCCCAUGUACUUGGGAGGCUGAGGUGAGAGGAUUGAUUGAACCCAGGAGUUUGAGCCUGCAGUGGGCAGUGAUCGUGCCAUUGCACUUCAGCCUGGGCGACAGAGCAAGGCCCUGUCUCAAAAAAAAGUGUAGCACGAAAACCACAUGUUCUCUUUUGUGUUGAGAUAUGCAUAUGAUUAUACCCUUUUAUCAAAAUUUAGUAAAAGCAUUUCUUAGCUUUUGCUCAAAUUACAGAUUCUAUAUGUCUGUCCUAACUUGUCAUCCAUCCAGCUGAAGCGUCUCAAGGUCAGAAUCAUGUCUGUUUCAUCUUUCUGACCCCAUGGAGCAGAGUACAGUGCCUAUGCAUAGUAAUCUCUCAAAAUUGUUUGUUGAGUGAGUGAAUGUGUGAACAUUUUAUGAAAUUAUCUUUAAGAGUAGUUACUCAUGAUCAGUAUACUUUAAAAGAUCGGCAAAACAUUGAUGACUUUUUAAAAAGUAAUUUUGGCCAGGAGCAGGGGCUCAUGCCUGUAAUCCCAACACUGGGAAGUGAAGGGGGGAGGAUCACUUGAGGCCAAGAGUUCAAAACUAGGCUAGUGAACGUAGCCAGACCACAUCGCUACAAAAGAAAAAUUUUAAAACCAGCUGGAUGUGGUUGGCAUGUGCCUAUAAUCCCAGCUACUGGGGAGGCUAAGGCAGGAGGAUUGCUUGAACCCAGGAGUGCAAGGCUGCAGUGAGUUACAAUUGCACCACUGCACCCGGCCUGGGUUAAAGAGUGAGACCCUGUCAGAAAAAAAAAAAAAAAAAAAAGUCAUUUCAUAAAAUUGUUGGAAAAUAUGCAUUUCUGAAGGAGAGGCGUCAGUGUGAAGAACACUCAUCUGAACUAAGAAUCAGAAAAUGGAUCUGAAUUUCAGCUUUGCUAUUCAUUCAGUGUCCUUAAAUAAAUCAUGCAACCUUGCACAUCAUUUUCUUAUUUAUACAAUGAAAGCAUUGGAUUGAUCAUUGCUAACAUUUCUCUCUGCUCUAAAACUGUGAUUUUUAUCCUUUGCUAUUUGCAAGAACCAGAAGAGAUAAAGGUUGCCUUUUAUGUUAGAUUUGAUUCUAAAUCUAAUGAUAUAGGACAGCGGUGCUUAAGCUAUUUUUGUGAAGUGAUAAGGAAAAACCCUGGGAAAGGUUCAGUGGUGGUUUGCACAGCUGAUUAUUUGUUAUGAUUAAUUGUUCCACUUUUAUUUUCUUUUGUGGCCUGUAACCUAAUUUUUCACUUAGUAUUGGGAUUAUUUUAGUACAAACAAGUGAUAUAUUUGUAAGAAGGGAUCCAGAGAGUAUGGUAAAAUGUCUGGAUGCUGAUGUUCUCUAAGUUAAAGGAGAUUCUAGGGGGUAGUCUAUAAUAAAGGAAAAACACAUUUUUUAAGGUUUUAAUUUUUCAGAGUGCAGGGAGGUGCUAGGUGCUUUCCUCACAUUAAGUAUAACAUUUCCUUUUACAGUAUGUCAGCAUAUUGUUGAAGUUUUCCAAUAUGAAAAUAAUAUCUAUUUACUAGCAUAUUAAAGCUUAGCAAGAGAAUUUUAAUAGCCUCAUUUAGCCUCCUAAACAGUCAGAGGCAGGGAAAUAUUAUUAGAGUAACAACACUGUAGGUGCUCUCUUUUGUCUCUAGUAGCAAAAUGAAUUCUGGCUACCAUGUACUGUAGGAGUGCUGCUGGCUUGAGGCUCCUGAGAUCUGGCAUGGCUGUUAUACUGACUUGUUUUCUUUCAAAUUCAUGUUAGAAAAAUCUGUGCGUGUGUGUGUGUGUGUGUCUGUGUACACAAAUAUUUAUAUUACCGUGUCUCAGUGCUUUGAGACUGUGUGAGGCGGGGGAAGAGCUGUUGAGGCUUUUUAUAGAUAAAGUUGAUAAUGCUUUUUUGACUUGGUUUUCUGUUACCAUCUUUUUUGUCUCUAUUAUGAUAUCUAUUAUAUAAGUCAGAAGGAGAAAUGACACAAAUGCCAGUAUACCAGUUCAAGAUAGGAUCUUGGUUUGAUUUAGCUAAAAUUUACCCUACUUAUUGGUGCAAUUUUUAAUAAUAGAAAACCAUUCCUCAUUGCUUGGAAUUUUUAUCUGCACUUUCCAUUUUGAAUAUUAUUGUUAGUUGUUGAACACCAGGUUUACUCUGCAGGACACCAAGCAAAGCUUUAGAAAUUUCUGCCAUCAUUAAACCCUGAACAGACUGAUAAGCAGCAAAAUUGAAUCAGUUUAAAAAAAAAAAAAAACUUGCCAACAAAAAAAGUCCAGGACCAGAUGGAUUCACAGCUGAAUUCUACCAAACAUUAAAGAAGAAUUGGUACCAAUUCCAAAAGAUUGAGAAAGAGGGAAUCCUCCCUAAAUCAUUCUAUGAAGCCAGUAUCACUCUGAUACCAAAACCAGGAAAGAACAUUUAAAAAAAAACUACAAGAAAUAAUAAAUAAAUAAAAAUUAAAAAGAAAACUACAGACCAAUAUCCCUGAUGAACAUAGAUUCAGAAAACCUCAAGGAAACACUAGCUAACUGAAUCCAGCAGGACAUAAAAAAGACAAUCCACCAUGAUCAAGUAGGUCUCAUCCCAGGGAUCCAGGGAUGAUUUAACAUACACAAGUCAAUAAAUGUGAUACAUCACAUAAACAGAAUUACAAACAAAAACCAUACGACCGUCUCAAUAGACAAAGAAAAAGCAUUUGAUAAAAUCCAGUAUUCCUUUAUGAUAAAAACCCUCAACAAACUAGGCAUGGAAGGGACUUUUACCUUAAAUUAGUAAAGCCAUAUCUGACAAACCCACAGCAAACAUCAUACUCUAUGGGAAAAAGUUGAAAACAUUCCCCCUGAGAACUAUAACAAGACGACAAUGCCCACUUUUACCCCUUCUAUUUAACAUAGUCCUAGAAGUCCUAGCCAGAGCAGUCACGCAAGAGAAAAGAAAUAAACAGCAUCCAAAUUGGAAAAGAGGAAGUCAGACUAUCGUGAUUGUAUGCCUAGAAAACCCUAAAGACUCUUAGAUUCGAGAAACAAAUUCAGUAAAGUCUGAGGUUACAAAAUCAGUGUUUACAAAUCAGUAGCACUGCUGUACACCAAUGACCAAGCCAAGAAUCAAAUCAAGAACCCAAUCCCCUUUACAACAGCUGCAAUAAAAUAUAAAAUACCUAGGAAUAUACUUAACCAAGGAGGUGAAAGAUCUCUAUAAGGAGAACUAAAAAACACUGCUGAAAGAAGUCAUAGAUAACACAGACAAAUAGAAGCACAACUCAUGCUCAUGGACUGGAAGAAUCAAUAUUGUGCCAGUUGACAGAUUCAAUGCAGUCCCUAUCAAAAUACCAACAUCAUUUUUCAUGGAAUUAGAAAAAUAUCCUAAAAUUCAUAUGGAACCAAAAAAGAGCUCAGGUAGCCAAAGGUAAUUGUAAACAAAAAGAACAAAUCUGGAGGCAUCACCCACUACGGGAUUUCCAGUUAUACUACAAGGCUGUAGUUACCAAAGCAACAUGGUACUGGUAUAAAAGUCGGCAUGUAGACCAAUGGAACAGGACAGAGAACUCAGAAAUAAAGCCAAAUAUGUAUAACCAACCUGAUCUUCAAUAAAGCAUACAAAAAAGUAAAUUAGGAAAGGACACCCUAUUUAAUAAAUGGUGCUGGGAGAACUGGUUAGCCACAUGAAGAAGAAUGAAACUGGAUUCCUAUCUCUCACCUUAUACAAAAGUCAAUUCAAGAUGGAUCAAAGACUUAAAUCUAAGACUCAAAACUGGAACUAGAAGAUAACCUUGGAAAACCUCUUCUGACAUUGGCCUAGGCAAAGAAUUCAUGACUAUGGUGGCUCACGCCUGUAAUCCCAGCACUUUGGGAGGCCGAGGCGGGCGGAUCACAAGGUCAGGAGAUCAAGACCAUCCUGAUCUCAGUGAAACCCCGUCUCUACUAAAAUACAAAAAAAAAAAAAAAAAAAAAAAAAAAUUAGCCAGGUGUGGUGGCGGGCACCUGUGGUCCCAGCUACUCAGGAGGCUGAGGUAGGAGAAUGAUGUGAACCCGGGAGGCGGAUCUUGCAGUGAGCCGACAUCAUGCCACUGCACUCCAGCCUGGGCGACAGAGUGAGACUCCAUCUAAAAAAUAAUAAUAAAAAAAGAAUCAUGACUAAAACCCCAGAAGCAAAUGCAACAAAAACAUAAAUAAAUGGGACCUAACGGAAUCAAAAAACUUCUGCACAGCAAAA
This is a long non-coding RNA of Homo sapiens (human), 50408 nucleotides long. RefSeq lists it as uncharacterized. The record is from RefSeq and is a predicted model, not a curated record. NCBI's taxonomy places the organism in Eukaryota, Metazoa, Chordata, Mammalia, Primates, Hominidae. The transcript has 2 exons.